This 66582-nucleotide long non-coding RNA is filed under the name Musa acuminata (dwarf banana). Its description in RNAcentral is "long non-coding RNA (MACU_LNC007696)". The stretch from base 31602 to 31675 matches the Rfam family "tRNA". Lineage: Eukaryota; Viridiplantae; Streptophyta; Magnoliopsida; Zingiberales; Musaceae. The record is from RNAcentral.
UAAGGUGCUGAAAGCCUGACCUAUUCUAUGAAAUCCGACUUGAACUUGGCUUCCCUUUUGUCUCUCGUGCUACUUUCCGGGAACUGCAACUUAACCUAGAACUUGAAACUCGUAUUGAAUCUGGAAACAAUACUGGAAUCUUGAACUACACUUGAAAACUCCACUGGACUCGCCCCAACAUUAGCGGAAUCCAGCGCCUCACCUCUUGCAUCGCAUAUAAGUUAUGAAAAUGACCCGCGGAAAGAAAUCUCCACCCACCCUAUAAUACGGAUUACCCUAUAUCUAUCUCGUAUUACUCAGCCUAUAAUAAGUAUUUACCCCCUAAUAGAAUUAUAUACUAAACUAUCUUAACAGCGAACUCCUUGCUGAACUCCUUAACUCCUGACUCGUUGUUCUAACAUUGCUUACUAUCUUGGGGCGCGGAGCUCGAAAGACACUCUUUUUCUUUUGCCUAAAAAUCCAAGAAGUGAGAAUUUCCUCACACUGCUGAUUCUAUUGUCGAUGAAACUCAAACUAGACUUUGCGCUUUAUACUCUUGCUUGAGAAACUGCUUAUCUGCUUACUUUCGCCUUUCUUUCGACUUCUCCUUUCUACUACUCUAGUUCGGAUGCGGGGACAGUGACUAGUGAAUCAGCUUCUUCCCUUCCACUUGAUGCGAAAUAAAGGGCUGCUUCUUUGCACGAAUAAACUCCAAAGAACUCGAUUCGUCCUGUGUUGUGUGGUAGAUAGAAUGGUUUUCCCUAAAUGGAAUCAGAAGCAUGGAAUGUGGCUAGGGCACCUUAUUUGAUGAAUAAAGGUAGGGUAGAGAUUCAUCUUUCGGCCAGUAGAAGAAUUCCCUGUGGGACUUACUUGUUGAGGAAUAGAGUCAGGAGGCUUUCAGCACCUUGCUUGUUUGCUUGUUUGUUCUUGGACCGCCAUCCUUCCUUUUAUAGUGACCAUCUGGAUGGAGCUCGCCUUUCUAUUCCUUUCCUUUUGAAAGAUCUCUUCGUUCUCUAUACUCACCUAUUACAGCUGGCUCUAAAGAAUCUAGCGUUCCACUCAUAUAUAAUAGCGGAACCAGACUCCUUACUCUAAGCGUAAACACCACAUAUGACUCCACUUACUCUACUUACUGCUUACACUGCGGACUCUUCUCCACAAAGGCUUACUAAUGCAUCCCGCCCCCGAACAACAACUCGCUAACAGCCGAUGAAGAGUAGAAAGGGGGUAAAGGUCGCUAACUCACUUAGAAAGGGGAUAAAGGUAGCUAACUAACUUAGUAUAAAGGGGGUCAAGGUAGCACUUAGAAAGGGGGUCAAGGUCGCUAACUCACUUCAUUCACGUUAGCCGUUGCGUUAGCCGUUGCGAGAGCCUUAGUUUUCAAGAAAAUCAUAUAUAUCUAUAUGGGCAGCUGUUUCCAAAAAAUCCUAUUUAUGGGCAUCCUCACACUAUACUCAAGUACUACAUUAUUUUCGUUGCUUGUAUAGUAGUGGGUUAUCUUCCUUAGCUUAUUGGGUGCGUGAGCUUACUCUUGGUCUUGGGAGGGUUUAGUUUGUUAAUCAAUUACACAUUGGGUCAACUACUCAUAAGAUUCUUUCCUUUCCCUCCGCUCUGUACCUUAGUUAUGAAAAGAAUCCGUAAUGCUGUGUUCUUACACUAAAUGGUGAUGAACGCUCUCUUCUCUGUAAUGAUAGUAGGCUGUUUUGUUACUGUGCUUCUAUAAGUAGUAGUGACUCAUAUGAUUUUCUUAAGUAUAGUAUCAGAAAGGGCAAGGGCAAAGUGCGCUAGUGAGCUUUCGGGGAACAAGCUUAGGGCAAUAAGUCAAUCAAGUACUCUAGUAGAUUUGGUACACUGCCUUCCGAUGUGUGUUGUAUAUCUCUCUUCACUCUACUAUGUCUAUGUCCUUUAAUAAGCGCUGGCAGGGUCUAGGGUUACUAACCAACUGAUGGCCUCCGUCCUUUAAUAAGCGAGCGCUGGGUGAAGUCUAGGAUUCCAAACAAACCAAGUACUAAUUUCUUGCCUAGAGCUUUAUUGCGCUAACCAGUAAAUGAAACAGAUUGUCACUAAGGAGCACUCCUCAAUGCAUACAGUAUCUCUUCAACUCUUUCCCCAAAGCCUCCUUCUCUCUUCCGCCAUCUUAUCUUAGUAAGUUCUACUUAGUUCAAUCUUAUGUGCUUUUUCAUCUCUUUCUUUCUUUGCUUCUUUAUUGAGAGUACUCUUUUCUUUCGUAUGCUAAUUCAAUUAAGGAGUGAUAAUUAUUAUUAUUAUUUCUAUGGAAUAUUGUGAUUGCCUGAGCGAAAGCGUCUGCAUGUUCACUACAGGGCAACGGUUUGAUGCUGUAGUUUGGCCGAUCCGCUGCUACUGCUCUAACUGGUGCUUGCCCACUACAAGGUAAGUAAAGUAGCAAGUAGAGUCUAGAUAAUGGUGCCCCCUCCGGAUGUUAAGGGUGAGGGUGCGAGUGUCAUUGUAGCGAGAGGUUCGGUGCUUGUUUCCUUGCUUUACAAAACAAACUAAUCACAAUCAAUAUAUAUUGGAUAUAAGAGCUUAGGGACAUAUUGCUAAAGAUGAUGGUUAUAUGACUGCUUCCCUUUUUGCUUCCAAACUCACUUUGGACUUUUCUCACUUAUAUCAGCAGCCGAACCCAACACUCAAGUACUUGAUUCUUGCCUUAAGCUUCUUUUCUCAACUUUCAGAAAAUCAUAUUAUUUGUGACCUAUGAUAGAAUAGUGGAACCUUCACUUUAUUGACCUAUGAUAGAAUAUAUGCACCUCACUCCUAUUACGAGCCACUGCAAAUAGCAUAGCACUCCUAUUACGAGCCACUGCAAAUAGCAUAGCACUCCUCACUCUACUGUCAUUAAGGAAUCGAACUCUUAACUCGACUUAUGGCCCUACACUCUUAACUCGACUUAUGGCCCUACAGAAUAUAUAGAACACUUCUCUUAUGUGAUAUAAUCGAUGAAAACCACUGCAUCCAUUAUGACUACUGCUGGCUCUAAUCUUUGCUUAGCUUGUUUCUUCUAUUCCUAAUGCGUUUCGAUUCUUCUUUGCUUCAAACUGACGCUGGACUUAGGUACUCUCUUAUGGCCCUUGCUUGUUUGUGACUCACUUCACUUCAUUCACCUUAGUGUUUCUUUGCUUGUUUUUGGGAAAUGGCUUGUUGAAUGGAAGAUGGGCACCUGAGUUACUUGUUUGAAAUGAAUUGAGUGCACCACUUAUGGAUUACAGUAAACAACCUUCAGACUGAAAACUCAUGUAAGCCCUUGCGCUUGUGUUGAAAAGAAUUAGGCUACACCACAAUUUGAAAGAAAGUAAACGUUACGCCUUUGCGCUUGUGUUGAAAAGAAUGAAGCUACACCAACCACACCAACAUGGAGAAUCAGAGUACACGUUAGCCCUUACGCGAAUUAAGCUAACCAACACACAUAUAGAAUACAUAGUCAACUUACUCCUUACUGCUAUCAUCCAAUUAGUGUCACUCCUUACUGCAGAAUCAAGUCAACUUACUCCUGGCUGCUCAUUCUAUGCAUUCCCUAGCAACACUGUUUACUGUGCGAAACCAUCAAAACUCACCAAUUUCUUAAUACUCCAAUAACUUAGGAGCAUCACCGUAAUUGCUUGUUCCUUUGACUCUAAAGACUCUCACUUAGGCAAUAGUCAGUAAGUCUCUUUUCUCUUCUGUAUGAUAUUUUGCUCUUCUGUAUGAUAUAGUAUAGGGUUCAUUCUCUUAUCUGAGUAGUAGGUUAGUGAAAUAGGGUUCAUUCUCUUAUCUGAGUAGUAGGUUAGUUAAGCCCACUUAUCGGUAUCUUCUAGCUUGAGUUUCUUCUAGGUUCGGGGCACAGUGAGUUCUAUAGAAAGAGAACAGUUCCGAGAUGCUUCAGAAAGCACCAACAUCUACUACAUGCGCCACAAUUCGAUUCUUUAGAGUAAGAGGAAGGAGUCAAGAGUAAUGGAGAUCCAUAUAAUGGGAAAUAGGAUCAUGAACCGCUUUCCAAAUAGUGUUUCAUUUGAAUACAUUAUCUUUCUUCUCUAUGUUCAAUAUAUUGGAUUAGUAUAGUCUCCUUGGAGUAAGCUGUUUUGUUACUCCAUUCAUCUUUCUAUCUAUUAGCACACAAUACGCAAGCAAUAGGGACCAUUAUAGAAUCAAUUUCUUUCCCUGAACCCGCAAUGGGUACCAUAAGAUUCCACUACUAACACAGAUUUUCUUCCCUUAACCUUAAAAUGAAAGGUGCUUUGCUUUCCGAACCUAACCUUUCUAUUCCUUUCCGAACCUUCCGAACCUAACCUUUCUAUUCCUUUCCGAACCCUAGCCUAGACAAUAGUCGUUCUGAAUUAUGGCCCUUGCUUUAAUAAUAUCAGCAUCCUUUUUCCUGGUGAAUAGUCGAGUUUGUUGUUCUUUCGCUGUUGCUCGUUUACUUGUUUAAUAUGCGCAUCAUAUAGAAUUUCUAGUUACCCCCCCUUCUGACUCUAAGCUCUAAACCAGAUUACUCCUCUGACUUCCAAACUCACUCGUACCCCGCACCCCAAAACUAGAAAGAAUCGAAUUGAACUGACAACUAACUACAUAUAAGAACUUAACAUUACAGCCUAUAAUCUUAGCUUAUUAGUUUCGUUUUUUGUUCCCUUGCUGACUCAACAUAUAGAAUUAAGGAACCUUAACAGCUGGUUUCUCCAAAGAACUGCUCACUACUCCAAUGCUAACAAACCCCGCUCCGCUAAACUAGCUUUGUAUAAUAAAGGCUAAAGUGCGAAAGAGGAACGCCCGAAAACUUGAACUCAUGAAACGUAAGCACAACGGCGCCGGCAAACUCACUAACGCCAGUGCUCAGUAAACUAAAAGAAUUCCAGAAGUUCAUGCACACCUACAAAAGAAUUCCAGAAGUUCAUGCACACCUCAUAUAUACUCAUAUAUAAUAAGAACGGACAUGCCUAUCAAUACUCAUAUAUAAUAAGAACGGACAUGCCUAUCAAUAUUCACGAACGAGCUUCUUACCUUUCAUUGGGCUUCUAAACUCACUGUUUCUACUUGCCCCGUAGUCAAUACUUCAUUGAAUCUCUCUCGCAUAUGAUCUCCGUGGGUCACCUAUAACUUCUCUGGCGCCCUAGCUUGUUUUCGUGUUGCCAUUAUGGAAUGUUGCGCAGCUUCACCCUUUUCACUUGCAGGACAGAGGACCGUGUUUUAUCUAAGAUCGCUUUGCCCCACUGGCACUUUCGAAAAGAAAGCUCUGUUUACUUGUUGCACUCAGCUAGGCUGCUUCACCCAACACUCAAGUACUUUACUUAUUGCCUAAUUAGCAUUCGAGAGAUACCAGAUACUUUACUUAUUGCUUAAUUAGCAUUCGAGAGAUACCAGAUACUUUACUUAUUGCCUAAUGAACUCCCGUAAGCAAAACUAGCGUAAAAGCAGCAAUAGGGUUCAUUGAAUCUACCCAGCAUAAUAUAUAAGGUGAUUAAAAACACAGUGAAUAUAGUGCACAAGCGGAAUUGAUUCUAUUCUAUUCCAUUAUUGAUUACCUAUUUGAUAUUCUAUUCUAUCUAUUAUUUCUUACUGAAAUCAUUACUCAACUUAUAUUAUUACUGAAAUCAUUACUCAACUAGAACAGGUCGAACUGAAGGAUACUCGUAUUCAGCCCCGAAACUAUAACUAGCACUUGCAUCUGACCCGACCCAAACUCCAUGACUCUUUAAGCAAAAGCAAAGGGAAAGCCAAUCAAAGAAGCUCUGUUAGCGAGCGGAACUCCUUGACCUGGACUUGCACUUGACGAAACCUACUCCACUCUCCCUUUAGCCACUGAGUCUUGACCUGGACUUGUACUGUCUUCAGAGGAAUCCUUCGAGCCCUAGUAUUUCAUUUGGUAAUAUAGCUUGUGGUAAUAUGACCUAUCAUUCAUUCUUGGUAAUCUUACCUAUCAUUCUAUUAUACCUUAUUGCUGCUGACUUGCUUGCGCCCAGCUUCUUUUAUGGUCGACAUGAACUUUGCCCUGACUUGAGAUUUCAUUAGCUAACAUGGAGCUCACUUGAUACUGAACCUUGAGACUGGAAUUGAGCAGUUGACUUGUUUUGUUCAACACCACCGCUUACCACUUACUUUUAUACAGCAUAUUUUCUCUCUUUUCGCCUUGGAGGCGGGACAAUCCAAUCUGUUCCAUUUAUAGCCCAACCCAGAGCAGAGGUUUAUAAGAUUCCCUAACUGCUUCUAUACGAUACAAGCAUUCAUGAAAUAAGUGUGUGGCGUCCGUGAUACUUUCUCUUAGGAGAUUCUCUUCUUUAUACUACUUUCCUAGCAACGAAACAAUCAACUAACUGCGUACCCUUACCCGGUUCUAGUUGAAAAGCACCUUUCCUUCUCGCUUACUCCUUUGCCACUGCUUGUUCUCCACUUGCACUUUCCUUACCGCUUCUAGCUGACUUUUGCACUUAUGCUUCUGUUGCUUUAAGAAUAUCGGCACCCCGAGUUGCUUUCAUCAUUGAGACCCCGAGUUGCUUUCAUCAUUGAGGGACGGGACUCGGUUGAACUAUUUCUUGUUCCCUGAGCUGAACCCUGCUCCGCCUAUAAGCUAUUUAGCCAGCAAACAAAGUGAGCGGUCAACUCGCUUUCAUUUGCACUUUCCCUCUCUCUCUUUAUCUUGCGCAUCGCCUUGGUGAAUGGAAAUUGGACUGAACAACUCCAUUAGCGCCGUCUCAAGCCUCUCAUCUUUAUGGUUCUCUUGCAUCGCAUCCACAUCUAAGUUGUUAUUAUGAUUCCGCCCUUUACCUUGCAUUCCAGUCCAUUCGAGUUGAUUGACUUUAAGGCUUCUAAUCUUUAGACUACUCCAGCUCCAUCUUCGGCUGGAACUCUACCACUAGCUUAAAGAAAAGAAGAGAUAUUUGCAACCACCCAGCCUUUGCUCGUUCUCGUACACUUGCUUAUUCCCUUAUCCGCCAUUAUGUUUUAGGGGGCUACGUAUAGGUGUUAUGACUCUCAAGAUGGUGUUCAAGGCAAUAUCUAAAGAAGGGAACAAAACAAGCAAACGGGCAACUACCACCGUUGCCCUAACUUAUUAAGCGCUAAGGUACUACUUACUGGGCGCAAGAUCAAGGAUGCGCUGGGCACAAACAUGUACUUUAUCCCAUUGUCUCGGGUCGGGUGCUUGUGUGAAGCUAUGAAAGUGGAGUGAGGUGAAGAAGAGGAUUGGAAAGUGGAGUUUCGAACUGAAAGUGGAGAGUUCAGAGUUGCAGCAAAGGGAGUUAGUUGUAUUUACAUCAAUAUAUACUAGGCUAGGUGCUCGAAAUACAUCAUUGCAUUCUUUAACUGAAAGUGGAUGCAGUGUAUUUGAAUCGGUCACUUUGAUCUUCCUCUGUUGAAACAGCUUUAACAGCAUACUUUAGAUCGAACGGAUCUUGCUGAUUCUACAGUCCUAAGCUAAGUCACUCGAUUCUUUCCCGCUUGCAGAUGACACAGAUUCUUAUCCCGUUUACUUUAUUCCUCUAUGACCGACACAAUCAUCUCUCUCAACCGACCCGACCUCAAGCCAAUAACACCUAUUAACUGAACAAGACUUUCUGUGGGCUGCUGACUGACUCUCAUUUGUUUAUUCUUUCGGAGACUACUUUCUAAUUGGAAUAACUCCUUGUGUUCUAGGUCUUGUCUAGUAGUGUAGUGACUUGGCGGAACAGGAAUCCAUUUUCUUCCAGAGGAUUUCCCCACCCCAAUGAAUGCUAAAUCUUUAGAUCGUCGAGUAAAUACUUUCUUUAGAACUCUUUACGUUGAUGCCACUAAGUCUGGGCCUGCUUAUGGUUAUCUACCACUUGUGAUUGCGCCAAAGACAAGAUAAGAUCUCUUUCUUCCCGUUAGCGUAGUGCAACUCAUUCAUUGAAAUAGGACGGAACUGUCUAGGAAUGUAAUCGCUCACCUGUUAGAGUCUUUCGAUCGACAUAAAGUAGAAUUGUUUGUCAUAUUACUAGGUUUCUAUACAAUGCCUUGCUGCAGACUUUCUCCACUUCGAUCGCCCUCCCCUCCCUUGGUAUCAUUGAAGACGCUCCUUCGUGUCCGCCCUCUUUCAGAACCUCCCUUCAAUCACUGGAUGCCCACUAUCAAUGAGUUAUUAAGAACCUUGUUAUAGGAAGGGAUGAACUAGUAACUAGUCUCUAACGGAACGGCUAAGCCCAGCAAAUGAACCUUCUCCUAACUAAUUCCAACUAGCUGCACUUUCCCAACUCGACAUCUUUCAGGCUAAGACCUUACUUGCCUCGGGACAUGCCCUAUCUUGUUCUAACUAAGGCAAAAGUUCUUUUACGGCUCUGUCUCGUCCUUUAUCUGACUUCUUUUAACAUUCGUGUUUUCGUUCGUUAUAUAGCGAUAAUCGCCCAUUCAUCCUUUAGUUCUUUCUUGCUUGCAUUCUCUCUUUCUUUUGACUUCCAAGCUUGGGCUUGUAAUGUCUCAUGCUAUGAUGCUUUGGUUCAUCUCACUGCUUGACGCUCCCGCCCUUCCUUUCUAAACCUUCCUUCCUUCGAUGUAAAAGUUAGAUUAUGCAAUUCCACUAUCCGUAAGGGCAAGUAAAACAGUAAACCCAUGAAUUUGGAUUUCUCUAUCUCUAUUAAUUGAAACUACUUGACUUGCUCAUAACUCCGGUACCAGGGGCAUGGGGCUUGCUCAUAACUCUAUACGUGAGAACUAGCUACCCUUAAGCUUUGAACUCGCUAUCGCCGAACACAGCACUUGGUCUAACUACGUUGCUUGGUCUGUAGUAGGAGCUUGGCAGUUGACUUUCAUUCUACGACUACUAACUAAAAGAAUGGAUCUAUCCACUAGGAACUCUGCUAGUGCUGACAGGACUGCAAUCACAAACUCCUCUUUUAUUACUGACAUGCCGACCAGCCCCAUUCUCUUGUUUCAAACUAACGCUCCUGUCUCACAUUCUUUUAUUGAUGGGAUAGCUUUUAUUCUUCCCAUGUUCACUCCCAAGCUGACAACCUUUGUUUUCAUUCCCAUACUCCUGCUUUGCAUUCUGAAAUUCCUUAUUACGUUAGCUUAGUUUAAUACAAUAAUGAAUUAGCAUAUAUUGGAAUGGGUUUGCUAGUCGUUUGAUUAUCGUAAUUCCAAUAGCAUUUGCUUCUAGUUUAUUGGUCGAAAACAGCAAGUUAUUUCUCUAUUAGAUUAAUACAAGCAGUAGGGUAGCUUCGUUCCAUAUGCUGAUUGAUGGGGUUGGUUUAGUGAAAUCAAUAGGGUUAUGGUUACGUACCAUACACGUGGUUGUUGUUUGCUUGGGCACUGUUGACGUCUCUCCCGUUAGGGCACCUCCUUUCAAAGAAGGAAUCGAAUUGGCAUCUUAUAAACUAUAUUAUAAGAGAAUAGAAUGGAAUUGGCAUCUUAUAAACUAUAUUAUAAGAGAAUAGAAUGGAAUUGGCACUUAGGAAGCUAUCUCCUGUUCUUUUAUUGUAUUGAUACGGAGCUAUCAGACUACUAAUAGUUGGUGUAUAGGAUCUAGUGCAUCUAGCUAUUCACUAAAAGAAUGGAAAUAGUAAUAGAGAAUAUGGGUACGAUCCCAAGCUACUAAGUAGUAUCAAAUUAGCUAGGGAUUUUCACUAGUAAUACACAGAAUAAUAAGGGGAAUAAAGAAUACAGGUAUGAUGUAGCGCCUAAGAAGUAUUUGUAGUAUAAGUAAGGUACGAUCUAUUGCAUCUACUAUAAUAGGAAAAGAGUAGUCCAAGCCUCACUUUUGUAUUUCACUCUUCUAGUGGCCCCUUCCAAUAUGAAAUAGAACUCUUUCACUGGCAGCCUAAGAGCCUGUGCUACUACGCCAAUAGACUUGACUAAGAGCCAAGCAACGAGCCAAGGAACUACUCUACUACAAAUAGGGUAGCUGGCAACCAUCCCUCGAACAAACCAGUUAGUAGAUCCCUUUACUUGUCAACUUCAGACUAAACAAGGGAUUCCACCAGAACAGUAUUGGCAAACAACCAAUAAGGGCCUCUCUACUUCUAUAAAAGAAAGGAAUGCGCUAGCUGAUCACAGGACAAAGAAAGCAGGUAGGGAGUCAGAGUAAUCAAUAAGAAUUAGUUGACUUAUCGAAAUGAAUUAAGGGCACAGGACUCGUUUAGUAUCCGCCUGUCUCUUGCUCUAGUACAGUUGCUUGCCCGGCUUGUCUAACUGACUUGAAACUAGUUGCAUUCUUGGACCACUGGUUCAGGGACGUUGAAGAACAGAACCCUUAUUUUAGCGGAAUCUUUGGAGCACAUAGGUCUUACCGACGACCACUACUGAACCACGAGCGGCAAGCAAGCAAACCAAACCACCAGUUCCGAAGCUCAGAACUAAUACUGACUUCCUUGAGAAAGGGCUUUUUUGCAUUCCAUUAUAAGGGUAAUAGAUCUGUGCUAACCGAGAGCAGAACUCCAAACCAAAUAAUAACAACCUUCGAAAAAACGAUAGCCCACCACAUAUAGGGUCGAGACUCACCACUGAGUAUGGUCUCCAAAGUGUCUUAAGCGACCUCGCGCUUCCAAGACCACCGCAAGCAAAGAACAUGUGCCUCUGACAGCUCUUAUCUUUCUGGAUCAUAAGAAAACUUCGAGCUGAAUACUUUUCCACUCAUGUACAAUUCAAUCGCUAUCGACUAUUUGACUUAAGAUUAAGAAACAGCGUCUACGUCUUCUGGUGUAGCUCGGCCACCAACCUGUGAGGGAAGGCUGGCUCCUCUCAUAUAGAAUAUUCUCUUCUGGGCUGGGUGCGGUUCAACCCUUUGUAUUUCAUAAGCAGGGGAGUACCCACUAGUUCCCCAUUCUAUUCAAAACCUAUGUGAUUAAGACCCUGGAAUGUAGAUUAGCAAAAAAAGAAAGCAAGGAAGAAUUCAUUAUAUGAAUCGAAAACCUCUCGUACUCGUUAUCAACCUCCAAUUUCAGAUACGUUAGUAAACAAACCACUGGCCAAGCGUAUACUUGUAGCGGGGAAUUAAUACCUUAACUACUGAAUCUGCAUUAGUUGACAGAAGAAUCAAGGGAAGUGUAGUGACUUGGCUGACGAAACCCGUGAAACAACACUGCCGCUACACUUACGUAGUUACUUGGCAGGGCAAGUCUGUUUGUCAUUAGCUCUAUUCUUUUGCAUUAGCUCUAUUCUUUUGAUUGGUGUUUACUCUUCAUAGUAGUAGCCCAAUUCCUUAUUCCAGCUUAAAAGAUUACUCGCGUAGGGCAGAGUUUUAGGAGUUGCUGGACUCUUUCUUUAACUAACAGGUCAGGAUGCCAGAAACGCUACAUAGAAUGGAAGACCGGAAAGGAAGCUUAAGUGCCCCAACGGGGAAGAUCUGUUUGCCAGUAGAUCGAUUCUUAUGAGUAUGGGUUUGAUUCCAAUAGCGGAGAGGAGGGGUCAGUUUCUAGUUCCUUUCUUUUAGGGUAGUUACUCAUUUUUAGACUACUUAGUUGAUUUCCCACUUUGGAAGUUGAGUCUAGAUUCCUUUAUUAGUAUCCGGAGAAGUAUGUAUUAGUAUCCUGAUCGACCUAGUGCUCCAUCCAUCAACUCCGACUUUAUAAUGCAAUUCGGAGAAAGCCCACGAGCAAGUCCCUUAUCUGUUAGCUUAUAUCAAGAAAGCUGUUUCCCACGAACAACGUAUAGACCUUCUCAUCUCAUAUAUAACAUAGAGCCAGAUUCUGGAUAAAUGUUAUAUAAAUAAGUCCUCUAUUAGCAAGUCCUCUAUUAGCGCUCAUUUGGUAUUGGGUUUUCUUCGAUUCCGUUUUGCAAAUGGUAACACUAGGAAAAAGAUUCACUCCAUAACCCUGGAUUGUCUUCAUUGACAACCUGUUGAUCAUUAUAACUUCGAUUAGGGCUUACUUAAUAUACAAUGGCUUUCUUUUCUUCUAUAUACAAUGGCUUUCUUUUCUUCUGUUUUUCUUUUUCGAGUUAGUGUUUCAAAAGAGUUUCGUUUUCUCUUACUUCUGUUACAUUUGUCCCGAAAACCGCCUAUUCCAUCUCUAUCCCUGCCAGCUAUAAUGAAAAGCAGAAAACCAUAUAAUUACUUUCAUGGCAUUUAAUGGCAUCGGUCUUAUCCGUGCGUCUAUGAAUCCAAACCUCCCAAACACCGUUCUUUCGUGGAUUGACUAUUGGAUUCUUCCCCCCCUUCCUAAAGUGCCAAAGCAGAUUUCAUAGCAGCUCCUUCUCGGCAUCAAGUCAAGACAAGACCGACCCUGGAAAAGAAAGGUUUGCAUCCACCUCAGGCAUUCAACCACAGGAAACAGCCAUGCGAUUACCUUAUUACUGGCUUAUCUGCGAGGGACCAAGCCUAUAGAUCAUACCUAUUACACUGUAUGAACUCAAGCAGCUUUACCAUUUGACUUCCAUCCUGACAUAUCUUAUCUGAUUGCCCAGCUUUACCAUUUUCCAUUUCAAACACGCUUGGCUUGCUCGGAGAGGAAAGAAAGCGGAAGGAAGCUAAAGCUCGAAUGACAAGAGAGGAAAGCGGAAGGAAGCUAAAGCUCGAAUGAUAAGAGAGGAAAGCGGAAGGAAGCUAAAGCUCGAAUGACAAGAGAGGAAAACGAGGAAAACAACACCAACUUGCUAACUCGCGUACUUGCUAACAAAGAUACUUGCCCUUUUUGAGCCUAUCCAAUACCCAAGAUUCCAAAAGGGCAGGCAGAGGGAAAGGAAAUGGCGAGGAGCUGAAAUGGGACAAAGACUUCCUGAGGCCUUAGCUUACCAAUCCAAAAGAAAGACAGAAGGCGAAAUUCUCUUACUACUGGCAUGGAAUUCGGUUUCUCACAGGAAGCAGGAAAGAGGACCCGGUGGAAUCUGCUCUUGGUGCCAUUUCACUUCUUGUAUCUCCCGCUUGCUUUCAUUCAAAGUCACUGGCCAGGAGAGAAAGCUCAAGCAUAUGCCUAUACUUAUCCCUGUAAUUGUAUUAAAGAGAACGACAUGCCUAUAUUUUCCUUCAAGCUUUACUUAAGAGAACGACAUGCCUAUAUUUUCCUUCAAGCUUUACUUGGGAAAGAAUCCUAUUUUCGAACUUCCUUGCUCUAGCCCGCCGCUCUAUGAUAUUCUAGCUAUAGACCCAAUCGGAGAAUCUCUUAUCCUUUGCCUAGCCCUUGUUCGUGUUGCCCGCUCUAACCCUAUCUCGUUAGCCUUCUUCUUACUUACUCUCUGACUCGUCGCCUCUUCGUUGCAAGCGGAUGUGCGAUAUACAGCGGAUCAGCAAAAACCUAUAUGCUAAGCAGCUUCUUAUGGGACUGCGGAUAUACUCCUGGCUUUAGCUUACAGAGCAGUGGCUUGUCAGAAAAUCCCAGCACUCUCACUAAUUCCGCAGCUUGCCAUUUUCAGAGUGCUUCCUGCAAGCUAUCAUUUGCUUUUGCACGAGAAUCCGCUAUCCCUGAGGAACUGCUUUAUAACAAGUCGAAAACUAGAAAACGAGUAUCAAACUAAAACACCUAAACGGCUUAUGGUUGGUCUUACACUGACUUUCUCACCACCACUAGAUGCCCUUAUUAUUUGGAUUAAGGCUAGUGAGAAGACUGAGAUGAAACAUAAAUAUAGCCUGCUAGAAUAAAGACGGAAGGCUGUAGAAGUAACGGAUGUUUAUGGGAGCAUUGACGCAAAGGAGUUUAGCUUAGUUCCCGAUCUCGUGUUACCCCCGAAGUAUAAAGUCCCCGAGUUUCAAAAGUCUAAUUGGGCUGGAUGCCCCUCAACUCACUUAGCGCUGUACUGUCGCAAAAUGACGGGGUAUACUUAUGAUGAAAAACCACUAAUCCACUGCUUCCAGGACAGCUUAUCGGGAUCAGCAUGGAAAUGGUAUGUUAAGUUAGAUCGUUCGCUCAUCUACUACUGGGCAAGAUUUGGCUCGUUCCUUUAUGGUACAAUACAAGCAUGUGGUCGACAUGGCUCCAGCAUGUCUUGGAUUGAGCUUUCACUCCAGAACAUAGAGAAGAAGUCGACCGAAGAAUUCUAAGAGUAUGCCCAACGAUGGCGAGAUCUAGCUGCUCAAGUUCCGCCGCCUUUGACGGAAAAGGAGAUAACAGUAAUGUUUGUGAAUACCCUUCACCGGUAAAGCUCUUGGGAAGUGCUACCAAAAGCUUAGAGUAUAUGGUAAUAUCGGGAGAAAUUCUAGAGACAGCUAUCCAAAGUGGAAGAAUGGAAGAAUUCUAGAGACAGCUAUCCAAAGUGGAAGAAUGGAAGUAUAAACCACAAGCACCAAACGUGUCGGACCUCCUAAAAGAAAAGAAGGGGAAGCCCGCAAUAUCAGUCUGCAACUAAUCAAUUCCGUUCCUCGAACAUACGCAGAAACUCAUAACCUCUAUCGGCCAUCUCAGUCAGGUUCGUCACCAAGCAAUCCACGACCACCAAAGCCAUAGCUGCUAAGGCGAAAAUGAAACCCCAUCCCGAUGUCAUACACAGAACUCUACCCUCCCGUUGCUGAAAAACCAUUUUGUAGCCCCUGUCUAUGUAGAGCCGUUUCACCCUCCAUACCCAGCAGCAUGGUAUGAUGAGAAUGCCCGAUGCAGCUAUCAUUACAAUGUUGUUGGACACAGCCUCGAUAACUCCACGGCGCUAAAAUCGAAAGUAAAGAAUCCAUCUUCUUAAUGCUGAAAGUAGAAAAUCCAUCUUUCUUAUUAAUGCGGGGCUUCUCUCCUUUGGGGAUGAACAAAAACCGAGCGAGCGUGAAUGCAAAUCCUUUAACGAAUCACUGCGGAGGAUCUUUUCAUGCUGUUGAGGGUAAAUGAGAAGGUAAAGAUCAAGACAAAGGUAGAGGAAGCUCCAUUCGAAAAAGGUAUAUUACUUGUAUAAUAAAGUAAGGAAUACUGGUCUGGUCUCUACCUAGUUCCAAAAGACAGAGGAUGUAAUAACGCCACAAUGAAGAAAGGAUAGUUUCCGUUGAGUCGACAACUUAAGAUGCUAUUUCCAGAGUGUCAUCCGUGUCCUCUACCUCGGGGGUCUAUUGCUAAGGAAUCAGUCAGUAUAUUAAUGGGGCUUUCCUUGUUAAGUAAGUAUAUUAAUGGGGCUUUCCUUGUAGGUUUCGUAAGGUUGAAAGUCAUUUGUAUUGUCGAGAGGAAGAUGACUCCUAUCGCCAUGAAUAAAGGACUUGGGCCCAAGAAACAAGUCGUCCAGUGCUAAGGCGAGAGUUGUGGAAUGAUUUGUUGCUUUUUAUGCGAGUUAUCAGAUAUCUUCAUAGCAAGAAAGAUCCGUAUUUCUUUACUCUGCGCUCGCCUCUAAAGAUUCAAUGGAAUUCAUAAGUUCAAGUAAAGGGGUAUUAUAUAGAACAAGUCAUUCUUGGGGAAGAGGUGGAAGUUGCCAUUAAGUCUGAAGUAACGGUGAAGUAGGCUUUAGCUCCUCAGCUAUGAAGUCAUUGUCCCGACUCCUUGUCGUUGCGUAGAGAGGUUAUUGGCUGUUGCAGUAAGAUCAGAAGACUAGUUAAGAAUUUCGUAAAUAAGAUGGAUCUUCAGCAAACAGUUCUGCAAGUCGAGUUCUUGUCGGGGAAUCAGAAAGGGAAAGGGAAGCUAUGUAUUGACUUUGUUUCUAUACAACCUUCUAGAUAUCUUCAUCCUCAUCUUAUCUUUCUCACGGUGGAAUAAUCUGCGCAAAGGGGAGUUCUAGUAUUGUCUGCAGCAGAAUUGCCAGUAACAGUUCUGGAUCAUAUGCUAUUACUGGCUUUGAAGCGAGGUGUCAAUCAGUUGCAUCCGUUUGUCUUAGAGAAUCGUGUAUCUAGAACGAAGAGGUUAAGCGGUAAGUGAACGAGUGCCAAAGUCAGCCGAAAACAGGUGCAUUAAUUAAGGGCACAGGACUAGCUCAAGAGAAGAUAAAGGAUCCGGAGUAGAGCAACUGAGUAGGGGAGAAAUAGGUAGUAGGGGAACCUAUGCUUUAAGUAAGAAAACGGGGAUUCUAACCAGAGUUACUGCCCCCAGAUUGAAUCUUUCCUGUCGAUAGGUGAGCCUGUCUCCACAGCACGUUAGCCUGUCUCCACAGCACAGCUCUUUUUAGGUAGGAUGGAUUCUUCUCGAUGUCACAUACUAAGAGAACUCGAGUCUUCCUCAGUCGAUCGAACAGAACAGCACUCCGGCCUUGAUCUCACUUCAGGCAUAAAGAAAGACCGACCCUUUCUCUACAAUAUACUCGGGUGUUUUUGAUAUCAUGAAUUGAGCUAGCUGGAAUUCUCUGUCCUUAACGACUUUCAUUCUCUGUCCUUAACGACUUUAUUUGAUUACUCGCUAGUUCGUUUAGUAUGUUUGCUAAUCUAGCCCCGGAUUUAUUCUCCUACUUAGCCGAGUUCUGUGUAUUUCACUCACUUAUUGGUCUGUGUAUACUAAUGAUUGAUUGUAUUGCUUGUUUCAAACCAAACCUAGCCCAGCUGUACCUUAGCCUGCACCCUCGUCCAAGGUCUCUGUUCUAAUGAAACUGUAGCCAUCGCUGCCAGCAGCUGACGCUGACCUUGCUUAUGGCCCUAUUAGCCUGUCUUGACUUUUGAUCGAAUCCUUUCUUACUGGCCUUCCCAGCUUACCUAUUACUUUCAAGUUUCAUUAUUACUUGCCCUAUCCCUUUUCUUAUACCUUAUACUUAUUAUUAUACCUAUACCUAUAGGCGCUAGAUCACAUACCCUUUCUUACUAGUUUUGUUCUCGGCUCCACUGCCCUUGAUCCCUAGGUUCUAUUUUCAUUCUGGAACUUUGAUUGGCCCAAUUGUUAUAUGCCUUUGUUUCGUUUGUUAGCAUCGUAAUAGUAGUUCACUCCGGCACUGAUCUAAAUCUGACAUUCCAGGUAUAGUAUAAGAGCAAUACAGCCCUACAUUUACCAUAGUGAUUAAGAAGAAGUUGCAGAACGAACUACUACCCGCACUAAUUAGAAUCAAAGAAAUAAGUAGGAAUCUAAACCUGGCAACAAGAUAAGAAAAAAGCCUGACUUAUGAAAUAAUUGACCUCGACAAGCAAAUACUAGGCCCUAUGCUCUUAUCAGAUACUAGGCCCUUGCUCUUCCUCACAGUUUACCACGAUAGACCAAUAAAUCUACAUAGCUUUAUUGAAAGGUGGAGCUUCGCGGUCAGCCAAGGCCUUAGGAGCGCUGCAGGUGAUUCUCUCCGCUUCUGUUAGUUCUUUCCCUUCCCUCCUCGGUGCCUCUUCCUGGCUACUCAACUCCAAGUCGGGAUGGUUGCAACAGCUUGUACUGGCUAAACAUCUCCUAUCUUUCUAUAGUCUAUCCCACUCUGACACUACUAUAUCAGAGGAAAAGUAUUGCCCGUCCUGUCCUCACUGAGUUGAUCUGGUGCCCACACUGUUGUUAGUCCUCUUUGCUUUAUUGGCUAAAGCACAUAUCCUGUCCCUUGACCGAUUCGAAAUGCACAAAAGCAUUGCAGAAAGAGAUGAUCGAGUAUCUUAAGCCAUCCUAGGCGGUUCUCCCGUAGCGUCUCUGCCGGAUACUUUCUAAGGUGUUGGUUUUUCUUCCUAUCCGAGGUUAUCAUCUUCUACAACUAGGGUUUUCUCUUUGGGACAGAUUGGAUCUCGUCAACUCCUUAGCUUUACCCUCGGGGAACUCCCUUUUCGCCUUCGACAUAUGAGAGAGAUUUCUACCAAAUACAAAACUCUGGAGUAUACCAUAGAACUCCAUACUCUCGUUUUACAUCGACAAUUUGAACCUCACAGAACUUUGACAAAGUGCAGAUUUCUUUCAUUCAUUUAGUUAGUUAUGUGCUUCCCCAUCAGGGAAGGAACGCACCCUCUUGCAUUAUCUUCCGAUUCCCUUAUAUAGGUUUGGGAAGGAUACAUUGUUGCUUCCCUUAUAUAGGUUUGGGAAGGAUCCAUCAGUUACUUCAUGGCGAAAAAAGUGAACCUUGGGAGGAACGAAAGCCAGACAUAUCAAAUGGAGGUGCCCAGAUUAGAUAUGAGCGAGGAUGGGAGAAUCCAGUUAAGGAAACAAAGAGGGAGGCCUUUUCGCUAAGGUCAUCUUAAGGAUUACAGGGCCUAGCUUACUUGCGUGCUAGCGUUACUGCUUAUGUGCUUGCCCUCCCCUCCGUCUUUAACCAACUCCCAUUUCAUCUAGGCUAGUGCUUUAGUCCUUCUCCCAUUUCAUCUAGGCUAGUGCUUUAUUCCUUCUUUUCCCACCACAGCAACAGGAAACUCUCAAAUAAAUGGUCAAAACCCAAAUACCCCGAUCUCGCUCUUGACUUUCGAAUAGGAGAUAUUUCCUCCCAGGAUUUCCAAGAGGAAAAAUGCAUGGAAAGGAAAGCGAAGACUACCUGAAAAUAACCCAUCGUAACGGAGACUCCUACUUCGAAGGCUCCCACGUUAUAGACUGGAAAAGAAAUAGACUAUUCACAACUAGGGCCCCGGCCCGGGGACUGAGACAAUGGCUUACAGGGCUUCUGACUUCUGGAACCUAUUCGUCCUACACAAGGGUAAGAUUCCAGAUGUUAGUAGAAGCACACCAGCUUGAUAGGCAGAUGAAGAAAAGAAUAGUUCGAAAUAUGCUGAUAGUACCUAGUUAGGCUUUUUCCAAUCCUCUGCUAAAGAAAGAGCCACUUCACUUAUGCUAGCUUUAAAGAAGUAUUUCUAUUUUAUAGGUAUGGAUUCAGACUUCAUCUUAUAGGUACUUCUGGGCCUACUUGCCCUCAGUGGAUACUCUCAUCUCAAUACAGAAUAUACUUCAUAGUCUCAGACUGUGCUAAAGUGCACUUUCUCCUCAGGCAAUUGUGAAGAACCAAAUCCUUAUAGUUCUAUUGAUAGCUUCCUUGCUUUGCCUUGUAGGGAACUCUUAGGAUAAUCUCUUAUAUCAAUCAAGCAAGCUUCUGUCUUCUUGUGUGAGCUUUGCCUUGUAGGGAACUCUUAGGAUAAUCUCUUAUAUCAAUCAAGCAAGCUUCUGUCUUCUUGUGUGAGACAAGAAAUACCUCGAUACUUACAAAGAUGGGUCCGUAACCUUACUUUUGUCUUUUUCUUUUUUAGCGAGAUAGAGUCAAACAAAGUCAAGCCAAAUACUCUUAGAAAGCCUAGCUCUUUGAUUUUAUUACCGCUCCCCUUGGGAUUCCAUCCAUCCUUUCUUAUGAUCUUUCUAUACCACCAGAUCAGGGCUUUCAUAAGGUUCCACUUUUCCUAUUGCCCACUACUAUCUUUGACCACUACUCACUGAUUCACUGGGAAUCUUUUUGCUUCUGUCUAGUUAGCUCUCUAGGCAGUUACUGAUGCAAUUCUUUCGUAGGGCGGGCGAGACGUAGAGUCUCUAUAAUCUAGGUCUCAGUAUACGGCUGGUAAAGCUUGAUAGGUCUCAGUAUACGGCUGGUAAAGCGUGAAUUCAAAUACCCUCUGAUAAUGCUCUCCCACUUGCAGGAAGUAGAACUUUCACAGUUGGAGGGGCUCCCUUUACUUCGCUUGCUGCCCUAUUGAUCCCAAAAGGUAAAUCAACCUCAAAGCAAGCCCUAUUCCGAUAUAUCCACCGGGGGACAUGGUUUGUGAUCUUACGUGAGAGAAGAGGUUGGAUGGUAUAGAGUCGGUGAUGCUUCAAAAUGCAUGCUUCAGCCAUCACCAAGGCCUUAUCUUGCAGAGGGGGAGCUUUGUCCUUUAGUCCAAGUCGAAAGCGCUAGCCUUAUUAGUGGAUGGUUCUUACCGACCCAAAAAGCCUGAUUCACUCCUAACCGACGAAUAAGGAACGAUCUUUGAUCACAAACGGUACUAGAAAUAGAAAGAAAGCGAGAUUGCACGAUAGUCAAAGUAAAGCAAGGCCAAGCAACUAGGCAAGUAGACAAGUCGUUGCGCAGGGAUGCUCUUACCGUAGUGCCCCCUUCUUCCAGCUUUGUCGGCUUUCUUUCGUAUCGGCCUCGAAGCCAACUCACAAGCUUUCGUAUCGGCCUCGAAGCCAACUCACAAGCUACAGCUAAUCUCCUAAUUUCCACUUCGGUAUUUCGCCAAGUGCGAUUAUAUGAAGAAGUAGAGUCAGGAACUACCUUUCAUUCUAUAGGGCCGUUCUUCUCCUCCAACCAGAAAGGGGGUUACAUUCAAUCCAGUGCCAUCACACCCACAGUUCAUUUUCUUUCCUAGGAUAAACCCAAUCUUUCUUUUCUCGAUGCCCUUUUUCGAUUGGUUAUGGUUAGAAAGAAUGGAGGAAAACUAUCCCAUACUUAUAAGUCUAACAUGCUUGCAUCACAAAGUCAGUCUAACAUGCUUGCAUCACAAAGGGAGAAUUCCACUAAGACAUACAAGAGGUACAAAGAAAAGAGAACAAGCUAAAUAGUCCAACAUCAUUUUCCAAAGUUCUAUUCAAAAACUAAGGGUGGAAGAAGAGUGCAAAUGUUUACUUCAACAAGCCAUAUAUAGAAAACAAGCCAUAUAUAGACUUUCUUAUUAUUUCCCAUGUUGCACCUUGCCGGCCACUUCGUUCACUUGGCUUUCUCCAAAGGCAUAAGAAAGCAUAUAAGAUAGGCAGAACCCAUUCACCAGAGGCUUCUAGAAUGUCUUAUUUGGUAAAGCCAAUCAACGGAGAUAAGGUAAGGUACUCUUAACUCUCGACAAAGAAGAAAACGAAAAAGCAAGAAGUACCCUCAGAAUUUGGAAUUGACCUCUCCUCCAUCCUGCCACCCUAGUGCUCUGUGCUCUGAACUAGGAAUUGAAGAAUGGAACUGUAACCAAAAAAGCAAGAAGUCACCUAGAAAUGAAGACUGCAACAUAAGGUAAGAGAUAGCGCAUUGGACGAAAAGGUAGAGCAAAAGCAGAGGAAUCAGAAUGUAAAGUAGUCUACUGCAACAUAAGGUAAGAGAUAGCGCAUUAGAUAAGAAGGAACAGAACGGAAUCCGUCCCCCACUAGGUAUGUUCUUGUUACCCGACUAGAGGUAUAUUAUAGAAGCGGUAGCGAGCGCCAAGUAACGCAAAGACAACUAUCAUAAUCAACUUAUACCACAUAUAUACGAUUUAUGAGUGGUUAUUACAACACCUGUGCCCUUCCGUCAAGGCGACAAGCUACUACUAGACGAGUCACUACAACCUUCGUUUUUUCUCUACCACUUGCUUUGACUUCGACUGAAGAUAAGUAUUCUGAUCCAGCAGAUGCUGAUUCCACUGGCUUAAACUCAUUCUGAAAGAGGAGCUUAUGUCACUAUACUAGCAUGGCUUCACACAAGCAUCCGAACCUACAUCCACGUCUUGUUGGGACUGGCAAUACUUAAGCCUCAGUAAAUUCCAAAAUAAUCAUAUAUCUAAGCUUAAGGAAUAAUCAUCUGUUUGUCUACGAGUUCCAUAAGCCGAAUCUUCUCUUUAUUUUGAUUAAAUGAAAUGAAUAAAUACCCACACCCCGCAUUGCAAGGAUGGUGAGUUUGUCCGGAAGGGCUGCACAGUGUCUUUCUUUACUUGGUUCUAUAUCAAGUGCUUCAAGAAAGGAGAGUUUCAUCCGUUUCUAUGCCCCAUGUGCUCAAUAGAUUCAAAUAAGAGGUAGAGCUCCAUAAGCUAAGAGGUGGAGUUCCAUAAGCUCCUAUUGUGGAAUUAGUUAGGGUAAGGCCUAGACUCUGUUUCCAUAGAAUAGGUAGUUUAAGGAAAAGAAGCAAUAGUUAGAUCAGGUGAAGGUACGCGCAGGAAGUAAAGGAAAUGGAAGUGAUAGUGAAAUCCUAGUCGACUCGAAUGGACUGUCAUGCAGGGUUAAGGUAAUAAUCUAGUACCUUCUUUUCCGCUAAUUCCGUUUCUGUUCUCAAGUAUGGUUCGGAUGUGUGUUUGUGUUGUUGGUGAAGAAAAAGGAGUGCGUAUACGAGUGAAGUCAAGGUAGAAAGCAUAAGGGGCUUAAGGGUGUAGAUCCCCGUUAAUAAGAAUGUGUUCUUCUAUGCGAUGCUCGAGAGUCAAGAGAUGGCAAAUUCCACAAGGCGCUCAAUGGAUUCCGCUAAUACUCCAGUGCCGUUUCCGCGCUUUCCUUUCCGUAUAGUUCCUUCGAGUGAAGUCGACAAGUUGUUGCAAGCUAUGUGGGAAGUUCAGUUGAGUUCGGAACGGAAAGUAUUGUUUGGUGCGACGAGCUUGUGAGAAAGCUUAAGUUAAGUAGGCUGUAGCUCCGCGUUCCUGUUCUAGUUCCAGAAGCAACAGAAGGAGAAAGAUCUGCUGAAGAAGGAUAAGAAGCCUGAAAAGCAACAGUUUCAAGUAAGUCAACAACUGGCUUGGCUCACUAACGCGUCAUAGUGACUUGUUCCAUUAUGCUUCUUUCUCUCCACUCUAGUAAAGUAUAGAACGGAGUAAAGUUUGUAGAACAGAAUUGCCAGAUUGACAGCUCUUUCCCUUUGUGUUAGUGCUUCCUUCAGUAAUUGGCUUUCCCUUUGUGUUAGUGCUUCCUUCAGUAAUUGGCUUUUCCUUUGUUCGUCUGUCUACAUUUCCGUUUGAUUUCGUGUUCUGGUCUGGCCCCUUAGACCUCUGAGAUUGUACCUUGAGAGUAGUUGCUCAUUUGCUCUUGCUCAUUUGCACUAUUGCUUGUAGGAGUUCCUGUGUUCCUAAUCCUGCUCUCAUAUAAUAAAGUCAUCUUACCUGCUUGUUAAAACCUAUUCCCCAGGACAACCAACCCUCUUCUCGACCUUAAUCACUCUGUUAGCGCGCUUAUUAUUCUAAGCUUGUAAAGUACUAGAUUAUUGCUUGCCUUGCAUCUUGGUCUGCUGACUCACUACGGACUCCUCGCUUGAUUGAAGCUUUUAUCACUCUGUUAUGCCUAACGAAACUCUAAGACGGAUAGUACUAUCGAAGCGCCCUACCCAAUAGAAUGAAAUGGAAAAUCAUCUCUUUCGCAUAAAUAAGUAAACUCACUGUAUUGCUUUCCCUAACCAUUGAAUAUCGGCAAAACUCACUCACUACAGCGCAACCCACAGUUUGAUGCUUGUUGGCUUAUGGAAGAUGGUGCACAACUGAUAGAAGAUAGGAACGAACCUAAUCUCAACCUUAGAAUCACAGAGCAGAGGACCGUAAGCGAUUUAAAGGACCUGUUUUCUAAUCAAACACCGUAAUGCGACACUCAAAAGCUCUAUUACUGCUCUGGUCUGGCUAUAAAGAAUAUGCACGCACAUACACUAAUAGAGUAGAGGAACGUAACCUAACGACUGACUAAACCAUUACUACUGAGGCAGGGGCAUCCGAACCUUUAACUAGACUUGAUAAGGACAAAGGCAGAGGAGAGGGUGAAGAAAGACAAGGAGGGUUCAGAAAGAAAGAGGCCCGCCGCACAGAUGGAAUUGAACUACUGAUUCUCUCGUCGACUUUCGGUGAAUAAAGACAGAGGUUCAGGAUGAAGCGAAAGAAGGGAGAUGUAGUAACAAGUACCCAUUUCUUUGAGUAUAGCGAGAGUUUAGGGCGAACUCACGUAAACACAACACUUCUGAUUCGUUGCUUGUUCCAUUGCGCCUCUGUUGCUUUUGCCUUUGACCUUGCGCUUGUGGCUUCUGGAAUUUCAUAUAUUCAUCUAAAUGCACACAUGCUAUAAAUCCAGUAAUUUGACAUAACUCCUAUCUAUGAGAAAGACUCACACUAACACACAACCUCUGGCGCCCUUGCCAAUACUCAAUUGAAUAUCUAGCUACCACUAAAUUGAUUAUGGUAGAAAAAUGGAUUAUGGUAGAGCAACACUGCCCGGACUCUGAAGUAUUAAGGAAGAAGUCACUUCACUGCGAAACAACAAAUAGCGUUAGGGCCAUCGCUAUUGUAAUUGAAUCUGAUACAAGCACCCCGCCUUGAACGAAAUGAUUAUUCCGCUUCUUCUGUGAGUUUACAGUGAUGUUACUGUAUUCUAUUGAGUUGUGUGCACUAGUAUUUCAGAUAUUUAUAGAACUAGCAAAGGGGGUGAGGAAGCAUCUCAUAUAUGGAACUCCUCAUUUGAUCUAGAAGGUUCCACUCUUCAUUUGGAUCGAUAAGGUUUUUCACCCAAAUUACGAUUAAUCCACUUAUAGUUAUGUGUAUUGCUAUUAAUAUACCUGAAAGUUGUUUGUAUUGUAUAUAUGAGUUGUAGGGUUGCUAUUCUAUACCUUUGUAUAGUAUAUGUCCAAGUCGUAACCGCUGUAGCUCCUUGUGUUUUCGUUCGGUUCUUGUGCGAAAGAACUCCUAACUACGUACUUAGUGUUGUGCCGUUGCGGAAGAACAAGCAACAUUGAUUGAGCUCCGUUAGCGAGCUACUUAAACGUUAGUGAGUUGUGCGUAAGUGACCCUUUUCUCUAUACUUAAUACUUUCAUUUGUGCACCGCUAGCCCUAUAUGAACUUAUAAGGUCUAUGAGCUUGCGUGUUGGAACGGGUUAGAACCUUACCAUACCUAUGAGAGCUUGCGUGUUGGAACGGGUUGGAACCUUACCGUAGUAUUCUAGGUUUGACCCUUACCUUGGACCCUUACCAUAGUAUUCCUGGGGUAAAGGAUAUGAAGCAUCAGAAGUGCCAGUGAUAGGGUGAUCCUAGUCUUAGAGCGGGUCUUCAAGGGUAGUUCGGUGCUAUAGGUGCUAUAGUUUCAUCCAAUGGUCAAGGUCGAGUUCAUUGCUACCUAUGCUAUGGAUACAGGCAAUAUAGUAGACUUGUCUGGUGGUUACUUGGCUGAUAGCAAAUCCGCCUGCCUUAGUUUUUCACCUAAUUCUUAUAUGCGUGAUAGGACCUGACUUUGGAGUUUCAUUACGAGUUUCCCUUCCGAUGUACCUUCCCUUCCGAUGUACCUUCCCUUCUUCGCCUCGGCAGCAACUCUUUCAUUUUGGCAAUGGAACAGCUCUACUAUUUCUCAAGAACUGUAUGACUAUUAUCUUUCCACUUGAUAGCUCUUGUACCGGUGUGAAGUCAACAUCAUGCUUAUUAUUUUCCUAGAAACAUAAUUCUUAUGAUGCCAGGUGCCCCUGCCUUCGUCCAAAGAGAGUAAAGCUGUGCCCAAUGACUUUAUGCCUGUGGUCGAUUAACUUAACAACAACUAUUGGGAUGAAACUAUUAAGUAGGAACCCAAACAAGGACAUCAAUAAUUUCACUAAGUAGUAGAGGAGAGUCUAAGUCUAAAUCAAGGAUGAAAUAGACAAUGUGGAAUUCCAAUCAAUAGUCAAAGAAUGACCUGCCCGCUAGGGGAUCCGAAGUCAGCUCAUUAUAGGCGUAGUAUCAUGGGGUGUUGGGUGGGCAGCCAGCGCUCUCUCUCAAGUAGUCAAAUUCUACUUAGCAUUGAAAGAAUGUGUCUCUGGAUGGACUAAUCAAACUCGCGAGUCGGGAUACCUGACAUAGCUCUAACGCAUUGAGACAAGGGGAAAGACUAUCGCUACUACCAUGAAGAAUUGCACUAGUGCUUCCAAGGCUCCACCGGAGAAUCAAACGACUAAAGGACUAUGACAAUAAGAAUGAAACGACAAAGGACAUUAACUAUAAGAAAGAAUCAACCACUACCCUGAAAGCCCAUUCGAAUUCCGCCUGCCAUUCCUGUCUCCUGGUCUUACACUCCUUUAUCUCAUCCUUGCUUCUGAGUUGUAGUCUUUUACUACUUAUAGCUUAGUCGCAUUCCUUAUUUCACUAUCAAAAGGCUUAAACUCCCCCGUCUUAAAGACUUGUUUGUUACCCACUCUGACCUUCAAGUCUGUAGUUCCAAUUAGGGUCUGACUUUCCUCUGGCUUUUGAGUUGCCCUUUGUGUUUGUUCGGGUGGGCAGUAAACCACUUUCCUCUUCUUAGUAUCGGUUUCAAACUCCAACUUGUUAGCAGCGUUCCCACAGCUUGCUUUCAAACUGACAUUACUCGCUUUCGAACUUACACCACUAGGAGCAAGAAUCAAACACUACCUAAUAGCCUCUAACUCGAUAUGCAGAAUCUUAAUAAGGAAGCAAAGACGGGAACUCUGGCAAAAUAAGGAAGCCAAUUACAAAUUCUUGGACGGAAGCCACUACUGUUUGGAUUGAACCCACUGCUUCUAGGACUGUCGCUCAUACCUUUCAUGCAGAGUCAAAUAAAAGAAUAGGGAAUUCCACUGUUACUAACAAGGCUGUAGCUCGAAACAAGUAAUUCAAUAGGGAAAUACAAGCACUAAUGGAAAGAACGGUAUUACUACUACCAAGAAUCGAAUUAGGGCAUACAAGGCCGAAACACUCUCAAAUAAGACACUUGGGCUGGGGACAGGGAUUUCACUAUUAUUAACUAAAGGAAUAGAGCUACCUUUAGUCUAGCACUACAGGACAUUCACCUUUCUCCUUCCCCUCCCUGUUGAUUCUCAUACCACUUUGUUCAGUUCUUAGACCGGGGUCAAACUUUCACUCCUUUCUUGAAUUAUGACUUUGGUUAGUCACUAGCCAAGUGCUCUUACUUGACGACUUCUGAGUCAAUUUCUUUAUUCUUAUAUCAAUGUCACAUACUAAUAUAAGUGGAAUUCUCCAUGCCUCCGGUCGGGCGUUCUUCUACAACUUAGUGGAAUGUAACUAACAAGUCAAAAAAAGCGAAACUACAACUCCGAACGAUAAAACAAACAAGCAAUACAGCAAGGCGGGAGUAUAAGAGUGAAGCUAAGCAGUAAGGCUCGGAAAGCUAACAAUAUGAUAAGACUAAAACAAGAGCAUAAGAAUUGCAAGCAAGGGUGUCCUAUUCGGUAGUUACAUAAUAAGAGUAAAGAGGAGCAGACUACCUGGCUGUAGUGACAUUCCGAGAAGCAGCAGCUACAAUGCGUGUUCUCCAGUAUAGAGAUUAUUAUGAGUAUAGGGAGGGUUCAUUCCGUUAGAGCAGGGAGUGGUUCCUCGUUUCUAGUUUCACCAUCUGCGGAGGGAUUGUGUUUUAUUCCCCCAUACUACUCAGUGCUCUUAGAAUUCCUGUACCCUAGUGGCUCCUAGCUAUGUGUUUCAUUAUUGCUUAUAUGGUUUCUUCCUGUUAUCAGUGGUCGGAUUCCCGCUUUAUGGCAUGGCUUAUUCCUUAUGCGUGUUUUCAUUGUUCUACAGCUUAGUUCCAUUCUGUUAUUUACUACUUCAAAGACAGAGUAAUAUAGGUGUGGAUUUCCUACUUUUAAAACGGGAGAGGUGGGCUAUCAAGCUUCAAAGCCAGAACUCCCCAAGUAACUGGACAAGUAAGCUCAGAUGCCACAUUAAGAAUUCGAAUGGAAGUUGUACACUAGUGUCGCGGCAGAGUCGUUGGUUACGCGGCAGUGGCCAAGUCACGACUAGACAAGUAACUACUAAUGACCAAGCAACUACUAAUGACCAAGCAACUAAGUAAGACGGGCAAGUCACUACUAACCAAGCAACUACUAGACAAGUAACUACUAAUGACCAAGCCACUACUAAUGUGGCGCGGUAGGAGCCUGAGUGAAACGUCAGCGAGCUAAAAGCGCGGCAGUGUUGUUUUUGCUACUAAUGUGUCGCGGUAGCGAGUGAAAAGCGGCAGCAACGAAUAACGACCACUAGGGAGUUAUGAGCAAGUCCUGUGCUCAAGUAAUAAACGAGUUAUUACUAUUUAUUCCGGAGUCCUGUCUUCAUGGCGGUAGCGAGCCUUUACCUACGGAGGGUUUCCAUUCUUCCUUUUAGUUAAGAGCACACAGUUCAGUUGGUUACCAGAUUCUCUAACAAGUGCUCAAUAAUCCAUUACAUGCUUUUCAGCGGGAAGGAGAGUUCUGCUAGCUCUAGCUCUAGGUCAAGUAUAAGGUUCCAGUGCUAGGAAAGUCACGAGGGUUGGUUGUCAGUUAGGAAGAAAUCUAGUCUAGAAACCUCCUUCCUACCUAGUCAAAACAAAGAAUUCCACAAGCCAGGCUUCAAACUAUUAACUGAAUUCGGAUCUCUUUUCUUCUUGCCUCAGCUCCUGUACUCAUUAACUCCCUGACUUUCCUCUUUCCCAAAACAAUUCAAUCCUCUUGCACUCCUCUACUAAUACACUCAUUCCUGUUUGCUACAGCGAGACUAGAAGCAUAAGUAGGGUUUUCAACUUAUAAUAAAGGCCAGUUCUUUUCUUGUUUCAAUAAGUAUUUCAAGGCGAGGAAGCUUUAUCAACUGAAUCCGGGUUUACAGUUCCUUAAAGUAGUGGUUCCGGGCGAGGUGCUUCUUCAGCUAAUGCAGUUCUUGUUUAAUACCGAGUUGCCCCUGUGCGAGUGAUAGUCUUCAUCCCUUUUGUUUCUUCUCUGUAAACUCAUACUUCUUUAUUGAUUGAUUUCCUUCCCUAGCACUCCUUCCUUUUAGAAGAGAGGCCGAGAGCAACUACUACGGAAGAAUAGAAUGGAUACUGCUUCAACAGGCACUGGGGAUCCAAAACUAUAGUACUUACACCAUCAACUAUGGCAGCAAGUGGGUAUCUCGGAAAGCACUCUCAUUCAGUUGUUUCUCAGCAUAUCCACUCUAUAAUAGUAGUUUACCCUUUUCUUCUACUAGAUGCGUUGGCCUAUGUAUUAUGUCCCCCCAUUCAUUCUUAUCUGUAAACUAGAAAUAUGGGUUUCUUAUCAUUGAAUGCGCUAGUAAGCCUUUAACUCCUAGUUCAUUCUUAUAGUAAGUAGAAGAGCCAAGCGUAGAGGCAGAGAAGUCCACUGCUUCCUUUACCUUCCUUUCGAACUGGUAGGCUGGCUGUUCUAUAUAACUAUUAUAAAGAUCAGAAUUGGAGACAAGCAACGGUACCAGUAUUUCAUUCAUCAAUUCCAUUCUUUUCUUUCGAGAACAAGUAUCUUCUCCAGCUUAGCAAUCCAAGUAUCUUCUCUAGCUUAGCAACCUUAGAAACUAGAGCAAAAAGGCAUAACUCAGUAUACUUAGUUACCUUAGAAAAAAGUCUAGGUAUUACUCCUAAGCAACUAGGCAAUCAGUUGAAACGAUACUUAGAUACAGGUACAACUACUUCUACUCCUAUUAAUACAAAGAAUAAGAGAGUAGUCUUCAUCAGUGGAUAGUAAGGUUAAGGCAAGGGCGGAAAGGGUGUUGAAUCUGCUGUGCUUGUUUCCAGAGAUGAAUUAGGAGAAUUGCCAGCCCUAUAUAUAGUUGUCAAAGGUAUUCCGUUGGGUCAGAUUCAUAAGAAAGGUAAGCUAUGUCUUUUCUCUGGAAAGGUAAGCUAUGUCUUUUCUCUUGACUAAAAUAAUCUAUAUCCCAGGCGCAAGAGAGUCAAAUUGAAAUUCAUUCCUUUACGAGAAAUUACCCAUCUUAUUGAAUACUAGAUGGUUGAUCAAGAGAAGAGCACUAGGGUGGCUAUAGAGCAACCAAGCAACGAACCAAGCAGGCGCAAAGUAACUACUAACCAAGAGGGCAGUUUCUCAUUCCAUUCCACUUACACUGAACAGAGAUUUAUUAACCGACGACACUGUAAACUGUAUACUCGAACCCGCUUGCUACAGGUGCUAAGAGGUCUUACCUACCACAUCCAAGAGGUCCUACCUACCAUAACUCGGUGUUGGGAAAGCUUUCAAAUAGGCUAUUCUUGUCGUUUAAGGCAGGGGAAACUCUAUUACGGGAAAUUGACCAUGAAGAUAACUAUCGGCUGUUAUAGUGAAUUUGAGCCUAACAUCUUGAUGGCGAACACCAGAGGAUAGGUAAGGAAACUAGAUUCUUUAAUUCAAUUGAAAAGUGGUAAGGGAGUGAAUUACUAGACUAGGGAGUUCAAGAGUCAAUCAAGUAGUAAAUAGUAAAGUAGUUGUCUGUUGAGUUGAGUUCAGAAACACUAAGCGGAAGGGAGCUAGUUGUCAUAGGUAUUGUAUUGUUGCCAGAAGUAGAGGAGCAAGAGGAAGUCUGCUGAGCUAUAAAGUACGAAGAAAACCGGGGAUAGGAUCCUGAAAGUAGUAGUCCAGUGGAAUCUAAAGUAGGAGUCGCGUAAGGGAAUAAGUUAUCUACAAAACAAUACUACUAGGAGCUACAGCACCUAUUUUUGAUGCAGAUAUAUAAGUGGCACAGGACAGAUUCUACUGCUUUGAGGCGAGGUCUAGGUCUACUUAAGAUGUUGGGUGCGAGUCUAGGUUCGGUUCGUUGUUGACGACUCGAUAGUUUCGGGUGCUCCUGUUGUCGAUUGUUCAAGUGUAGUUCAAUUGUCAUUGAGAUAGAAUAGCGACCCUAUUGCUCUGAUUUCAUUCCAAUACUAGGGAUCGGGCUAGUUUACUUACAUGUUGGGGUGUGGGUAGGCGUGUCUUGUUAGGGGGUAGGCUUGUGUCACUCCUUAACUAGGGUAUGUGAUUCACUUCAAUUGACUAGCGAACCUUCCCUCUUGCCCAGAGGCAUAGAGUGAUGAAGCUAUUAGUUUCUUUCUAAAGAAUAGAGUUGGAGAGUAGACUUAACACCUUAGGAAUCACAACACUCCCAAGAAAAGAAAUUAGGAUUUGUUUGGAUCUGAUCUAUACUAAUUUACUACUCAAUGAAUUCUAUUAUUAUUAAGGAGAAAGUUGAGAAAGAGAGAAGCAACAGGGUCGGGGUGAACACUUAUAAGAGUUAGGGUCGGGCAAGACUAAGUGAGGAAGAACAGUGGGAGUGGAGUCUACAGGCGAGGAAGCGAGGUAUCUUCACCAAAACCCGAGGUGGAGGAGCAAGAGCUGGAUAAGAAAGAAUAUAACUCAAUCGGAUAAGAAAGAAGGUAUAAAACUACUGAUCUAACUGGUAAAGAAGGAAGGAGCUGCGUCUUGUAUCAAAAUAGUCAUUCUUGAAUCAGAGGAAUAAGCUUUGAAGAAAGCAAUAAAGUCUUAGUGCGCGUUAGGAAGUUGUUCAAUGAAUUCUGGAACUCAUAGCUCUCCAUCUGGUGCUCAAGCCUUAACUUACCUUCUCAAACACGCUGAAUACAAACUAGUAGAUUUCUUUUCUUGUUAAGUAAACAAAAGCAGAAGAAUAAUCGUGAAAGCAAUUGAAAUGUGCAAUUACUGUUUGACUUGCGAGUUAGGGUGGGGGUGAACUCAUCGGUAAGAGCCAAGACACCACUAAAGGAAGAAAAAACAAUCAAUGAGAAAUCAAAAAGAAUCCAGAAAAGUCGACAAGGCUGCCGCGCUUUUAGCUCGUUUUAGCUAUUAGCUCGCUACCGCGUAACAUUAGUAGUGUAUUGGUGCAUCCACAUCCAGUAUUUUCACUAAGUAGUCAAAGUAGGGGUCGGCGAGCUAGUCCAGAGUAGAGGUCUGCAAGGUAAGAAAGAGAAUGCCCAGUGCGAGGUCCAGUGAGAAAGUAGAGUUCCUGCUCGAGUGGUUAGUUUCAAGAGCAAGAUCAGAGGUAAAGUACUUGCUUUGAAGCUAGGUGGGAGCUAGGGAAGUUAUUCUUAUUGGGCCAAGCAACUAAGUAAGACUAAGGGCGCUCUUAUUGUAAGUUCAUGAAAUAGUAAGUUCUACCAGUGAGAGCCAAGUCCUGUGUUCGGGUGCUGAAAGCCUUUUCGACGUAUACUUAAUGCUCUCCCAAUCAAGGAAGGGGUUUAUUGAACUUCUUAGUAGCUGGUUCAGCACUCAGAAUCCCGCCUCCAUCCUAUUUCUGAUCGCUCGCUGUCUACUAAAUCAACUACGCCUUCCUUUGAUCAAUAAGCCGCCCGCAUCUUUCUUUCUUUCUUCUUUAUUAAUCUUUCUUUCUUCUUUAUUAAGUAAAGUAGACUCAGAAGUGAGAAAUUCCCAAUCUCUUUGUUUGUUUGAAGCCAGGAAGCGAAGCUUCUACUUGCUUGUUUAAGCUUUGCUUCCCCAAAUUCCAAUCCAACUAGAUCUUUUCAAUUCCAAUACAACUAGAUCUUUUAUUUAUUAGAAACAAUGGGGCUUAUCUUUCUUUGAUAGCGGGGCAUAGGGAGGUUUCAGAAAGGAUCUGAUCUACGAUGAAUACUGAUGAAACCUGUGCGCGGGGGUAGGGGCGGAUGUAGCCAAGUGGAUCAAGGCAGUGGAUUGUGAAUCCACCAUGCGCGGGUUCAAUUCCCGUCGUUCGCCCAUAACUAUAUUGCAAUUCAGAAAAUGGAAUUGGAUAUUGGACUAUAUAUUGCGACGAAGAAGAACACUAAAAAACGAGAUCUUUCGCUUUUCCUACUUCCUCUUGCAAGUGCUGGAUAACCCCAAGGCUAAAGUGGUUGUGGGUUUUUUCCAUCAAUAGGGGCUCCCCCUUCACCGCCACCAUUUGUAUGGUAUACUGGGUGAAUAUAAUAACCACUCUUAUAACUACAGGACACUUACCUAGCCUAGCCAACACUUAGAUCCGGCUCUAACCACACCUUUUUGGCCCAUCAUUACCUACUCGUCCAACUGUUGCUAAGCUGCUUUUGGAUAUCAAACAGACCUCUCCCAAGAUAGUCAGAUUCAUGUGGCCGAUUGACCCUCCCCAUCCAGAUAGUCAGAUUUAUGUAGCCGAUUGACCCUCUCCAUCCAGAUAGUAAGAUUUAUGUAGCCGAUUGACCCUCUUAUUCGAACUUACUAAUGCCGUUACGCUCCAAAUUAUUGACUUGUGCCUUAGCGAGCGAAUCAACUCACUUGUUGAAAAGAGUGAAAGAAUAGAGGAUAGACCCGUUACUUUGAAAAGGAGUGAAAGAAUAGAAGACAAUAAAAUCAGAUAGGUCCGUAGCUUUGAAAGGAGUGAAAGAAUGGCCAAGCAACUCACUACCCUUUCUGACCUGACCUCUACCUUACUCUAAUAAGUGCCCGACCUAUCUACCACUACUAAGAAGAAUCAAACUGUGCACCAACCAGACUGAAACUAAUCAAUUACAGAAUGGGACUAAGCAGUAUCGGAACCUAACCACUGACAACCAGACUGAUACCGGGUAGACUCAGAACCAAAGCAGUGCUAGCAAGAAUGAGAGAAGGCCAAAGGCGCCUGACUGUAAGAAUGCAACACUGCCUUCCGAGCCUGAUAUUAGUGCAUCUCAGACCGACCCGAGUGACAGAACGAAACAAGCUAGUUACAGGCUGAAGCUAGUUAGUAUGGGACUGUGGACUAGGUACUCAGAAUCAAACCAGUGAUACUAACUUUCAGAAUGCAACCGGGGAAUCAGGGUAUGGGCCGCUAAGGGAUAGAACGGAGCCUCUCUUUAGGUAAUCAGAAUUGCACUCAUGAGCCGGGUGCUCGAAGGUAGGGUUACAGAAUGAAACUAAGCAGUAUCAGAGUGAAACUCGGUUGAGCUAGUAGGCAAGUAGGAAAGAGGUGAGGUUUUAAGCCCAUAUAGUAGUUACGCGGCAGUCCGGGCAAGAAACCCGAGUUAAGAGCAAGCAAGUCCUGUGUUUGUCCUAAAUAACUCAUAUAAUAGAGUUAGUUGCUGUUAGGCACAAGUCUUAAAGGUGAACUAAGAUCUUUUCUCUCGACUAAAGUAAGUAAGUAAGUAGUAGUUCUGGGUGGGUGCACCUCCGCCUCUUCUCCUGCCCGUAGUCCACUAAUUCCAUUCCAUUCUUAACGUUAGAUGAGGCUUAUCAAUGGUAGUUCUAAGGAAAACCAUCCUUCUUUAUCUCUUCUUCUGAGGAAGAUUUCAUGUUGUUUGCUGUGAAAGCUAGUGAGCCAUUUAAGUUCAUAGGCAAGGUGCUGUGUAACGAAGACGAAAGUCUGUCGAAUGUGUGAGUGCGAUAACUCCAGAUGCAUCUGCGAGUGCUGAUCCCAUUAUGAGUCACCUUUUGCUUAACCAUGAAAUGGGAAGACGAACUCAUCUUCUUCCGUCUUGGGGCAAGGCAAUCAAAUAGAAGAUUGGUACUUGUGCUUGCGGGACGAGCUUAGGGAGUACUAGUAUAAGGAAUUGGAUGUUUCUAAGCAUCCUCUUAUUGAGUCUCGGUUAACCAUAAAGCUGGUUCAAUCCCUCUUUAUGCCGUUGGUAUAUGGGAAAACAGUCAAUACUAUGAGUACUUAUAUAUAUAUGAAAGCUUAUGACUCAUUGCUAAGUAUAAAGGAGAGUGAUAACAUAGCUAAACGCAGCAAAACAUUUGGAUCGUAUAAAUAUCCUGAUAUAGCUAAGGGAAUGAAGCUUAUUAAUGAAGCUUAUUUAUUGACGGUUGGUUUUGUUCGGAUAAAGAAGUGAUUGAUAGUAUUCCUUGCUAUACCACAGUGCAGUAUUAUAUGCGGAAUGACAGAAAAUGGAUCUUGAUGAUAGAGUUCACAAGACGAAACAUAAGGUUAUUCUCCGAGUUCCUACAUGAAAGAAAAAGGGAUCUUGCAAGAGUGCUGUGUCUACCUGCGCUUUAUACACCAGAAAGAUGCUUUUAUUGCUAUGAAAGGUUAUUGAUUGGAAUAGCUUUUAAGGUUGGUCGGGACUCUACCCUUGCCUAUCACUGGGUAGGUGAUCCUAUCCUAUUCGAAGAGAACAUUUAGACACAAUUCUUUCGAAUCUGUCUACAUCGGAAUUGCUACCAAAAGAUAGAAAGUUAUGGGAUAAGAAGAAAUAGGAAUUUAUUGAGAGUGACCAAUGCUAUGUGGAUACAGUCAAUGGUAAAGGCUUUAAUACACCAACACCAUCGGAAGGUAGUCACCUUCAUGUCGAGAAGUGGAACACAUUUGAGGAAGAGCUCUCUUGGGAGCAUUCUAACUACAGCUUCCAGUAUAUAAAUGCAGAAAUAGAAAGAAACAUGGUAGGUGGUUUGACAACAAGAAUACCAGUAUAUAAAUGCAGAAAUAGAAGGGAUAGGUGGUUUGACAACAAGAAUACCUCCUCUUCUCAGAGUUCAGAAGAGUCAGUUCUAUAGAUAUUGGAAUCGUUCACUGAAGUAAGUCAAUCGAUUGGGAUAAAUGGUGGGAUCUAUAUAAAGGACAGAGAAUAGUAGCAGUUGGAUUCAAAAAAGAUUCCCUGCGCCAGAGGUUAAGACUAUUCUGUGAUAGCAUUGGUAGUAAUGCGACUGUUAAUGAUGUAGUUUACCCUACUGGGGUAUGGUAAGGCAGCCGUUUUUUAUACAAUGAAAACACCAGCAGGAUAUGAUGUUACCUAUGCAAUUGGUAAGGCUAUUUCUGUAAAUGAUUCUAGCGGUCAUGCUGUUCCUUACGCGGGUUUAUAUGAUAUGAUAGUCAAAUACGCAAUGCUACAAGCAGGGAAGUAUGAGGAAGCUUUGCUCGUAGGUUGACUUUGAAAGCUAUUCUUUAUGGUAUUAACGAGGAUGCCUCUUGUCUUGACUUUACCCCGAUUAGAUUCUAUUGGUAGGAAAGAUUGGGGAAUUAAGGUAUUCCGGCAUAGGUGGUUCACCAGCAGAAGCGAAAUCUAUGGUUAGGAGGCAUCGCAUCGUCCUUAUACCGAUCAUGUAACUGCACUCAAACAAACCAACGAGUCAGGAAAGAAAGGCUGCCUUUUAUUGUUUGUUGUCGAUAUAGAUACUUUUCUCGUAAAUGGAGUUAAUGUACCUUACUGUGCGGGUUUCUUAGUGGUUAAGCUUGGUAUCAAAGGAUGGCGGUACAAGAGCGGGUAACGGUGCACAUAAUUCAUAAUCAAAAGAAGUGAGUUUCUGGGCGGAAUCAGGAUCAUAAUAUGGAUAUGAAGCCGAAGCCAAAUCCACUCUUAAAGAAUACCCAUGUAUCGAAGAUCUGGAUCUACCUGUUGCGCAAGGGCGGUUACAGCACCUGAGAUGUCGGGUUCAAAUGCAUUUAUACAGCCGAUACGUAGCAACAUAGGGAAUUUCUCAUAAGAGUUCGCGGUCUUGCUUAGUUGCUUGGCCCCUCGCAGCAGCACUUAUAAGAAAUACUUCCUUCGCAUUCAUUCAUUCUUUCUUUCCCGCUCUACCCCUUACUUUUGAACCGACCCGCUUCUGAAUUCUCUCGUGGACAACAAGGGUAAAGCUCUUAGCCAUCUGACUUAUAAUACGGCUGGCUAAGCCCUCGGCAACUACCUUAAUUAAUCCCGGCUGCGCUAAACUUAACGACCGAACCUAUGUCUUUAAGUCUGAUCUCUGAAUUUGCCGGGCCUCUUAUCAAUUCAAAGAAGUGCUUAGUUAUUACUCAUAACCUGGAUUUGUCAACGUAAGCUAUAUUUCAAGGUCGAAGGGUUUCUAGGCAUUGAAAAGCAAUCUACCCUGGAAAGCUGUCGUAAAGCUAUAUGCUCAAUUCUAACUGCAGCGCUUACGCCCCUUAUGAUUAGACAAUUUCUAGAGUGGAGCCAAGCUAACAUACUAGGAUUCAUUCGUGAAAACAGAAAGAAGACGGGGACGACUCUAAUGAAUAGAAUCAGACUAGCCAAAAUCCAUACUCCUUUCCUAAUAAAGGUGAAUUUCUUCUGAAAUCGAUGAAUCUCGGCUACGGCUUGCCCCGCACCUGGACUGGCUAUCUCGAUAGAAAUGUAUUCAUCACCACCCAUCUAGAAAGAGUUUCAAGAGGUCGUACUUCCUCCCAGAGCGGAAAUAGCAUGGCGUACCUUCAACAUGGGCUCUUUCCUAUUUUGGAAUAAGGCAAGUUACCUGUCACAAGCACUUUCCGUAUAGGAAUGAAUUCUUCUCAAAAGAGGAUCUGGCUUCGCACCUUCGCCCGGAAUCUAACAUCUCGAUCUCUCUUUCCGCUACUAGAACGGAGAAGAUACCGCUUGCCUCCUUGCCUACUUGCUAUGUGCUCGGUUGCCAGCAGCUUGUUUCAAUUGGAUUUCCCAGAACUAGACUAUCUGAUUGCCCCCGAAAACAGGUGUCAUCCCAACAACCGGUUAUUCCCCACCCGAUCUGGCGUUGCUUGCCCCAACUCAGCGGUUAAAGCCUUAUUGUUUCCCGCGCCUACCUCGACACUCAGUUCAUCAUGUCAUUGCCUCUGAUCUUGUAUUGCAACACCCGAACUACUAGACUUUAGAACGUAAACAGCUCUGGAAUCCUAUAGUCUUGAUUGAUUGUAUCUCUCUAAGCCAACUACUCCGAUAACGAAUACCCAUGUUUUAUAGGCAAAUAUAGGCUUCAAGUUAACUCUAACACAACUUAUGUAGUUUUCUGGGAAAUACUUCAGUGAAUCCGACUAAGAGAGCAACGAAUGCAUUUAUUGUGUAUACCUUAACCUAUCCUUUACUGGUCCUAUACUCUGAAAAGAAGAAUACUAAUGAUACAACUCACACCAAUUGCACUAAAGGGAAGGACUACCCGGACAAAUACUAUCUAUAAUCAUAAGGAGCGGGGGAGCUACACUAACAGUACUACCAGUGCCUACUCAGAAUGUCCCUAAGCAGUAUCACGAUGAAACCGGUGCUAUAGACAAGGCGAUCAGAAUGCAACCACUGCCUUCCAGUCUUAGCAGUAAGUGAUAGGCCAGUUCCAUCCAUUCAAGACUUAUAAGCUAUUAAGUGGAAUUCAUACUAUCGAGAAGGAGCAACCAUGCCUAGUGCUAGUAAAGUUUCUCUCGACCCCGAGUUUUGUCUAUCUAUAGUUUUCGUAUGAAAGGAGAGGAAAUGCAAAAGGGGAAGAACUAACAGAAGCAGAAGAGAAGCACAGAGAAUAAACUGCCGUUAAGUCGUCAGCAGAAGAAUUGAUAGUUUCAGUUCGCUAAGUCAAUACAGAAUGACACUAGAAAGAGGGAUUCCCUCGCCGGUGGUGCAUACUAUGACUAAACUAAGAUCUGUACGAGUAGGUAUAGGAAUAAUAGGCGCUAUAUGCGCUUCAACAGAAUAAGUAAGCAUUGCAGAAUUUCAUCUGUAUUUGUUGACUACGGUAUAUGAGGCAGAGAGGCGCCAAUAAGUUCUCUCGAAUACUUUCCCAAUUACUUUAGGGCUGCUGACCUUCAACUUAAUGCUCUUUUCUUUUCCCGCAGGUGCCCGCACUGUUAUUGUAAGGAGUGAGGCCAAGCAACCUUUCUUUCUUUCCCUGAACUGCUAGCCAGUACUUUCUUCUUACCCGAGAACUACACUUGAAACAAGGAAUGAAACUAAAGCAGAGGGCCAAUCAACAACUACUUCAGAAUGGAAUUGACUUCUUUCAACAAGCCCUGCAGCUGGCUACUCAAACUAUUCACUCAAUUCUUUACCGCGCCUUAGCAACAAGUAAUCUCAAUAGGCUUUCCUCGCACCGUUUGUUUCCUGUUUUUGUAACCUAAUUAAUAGCUAAAGUGAAGCUUUCCACUACGCCGCUCAACUCCCCAAUAUUUAAGUAGAGGCCGAACAAGACUCUGUCCUUCCCGCUUCUGAGAAAACCUCUAUUCCCCCGCUUCUUAAGCACUAACUUCGAAUUCAACAAGUCAGUAUAAUCAUUCCACUAAUAACUAUAAGAAAGAAACUCAUAAGUCAGAAUGAAACUCCGCAUUACUCUAGCUCCCGAACACAGGACUUGCUACCGAAACUAGAACUGUAAACUCUCCCUUACUCUUUAGCAGAUACGAAAACAAACAGGAACUGCUCCUUUAGCCUUAGCGGAUACGAAAACAGUAAUGGAACUUGCAGCUUACAAUCGAACCCUCUCUCGCGGAUUCUUGAUUGGCUUUGAUCUUAGUUGUCCACGAGAAUGUUCUUAUAAAGCAGAAGUCAGAGAAUCAUAAGGAACAGGUAAAGGUAAAGGCUUGAACUGAAUCUUUCUUUUAUCGCGCCCAUACCAGAAUAAAGGAAUUGAACGGAGCACCCUUUCUGAACGUGCAACUCAGGAAUUGCCAUUUGACUCUCUUGCAUCGCGCAGACAGAUAAGAUUUUCUCUCUUAUAACUCAACUCAACAAGCGCAACUCAUUACUCAACAAGCUUAGGCGCAACUCAUUAAUUGGAAUGGAUUCUUUCUUCUCGAGCACCUGGUGCAAUAAAGUUCUCAUUUCCUCGACUUGAAGUUCCUUCCCCAUAUCUUGCUGGUUCAGAAGAGAUGAGAUUCUUGCCCUAACUCUACUUGAAGGGAACUUUCCGAUUGCAGAUGACGAACUUGAUACUGGGAUCUGGAGUGGACUUUGACUUUGGCCAACCACCUCUAUCCACUUUAGUACACCCACCGCUUGCUGCUGACACAGAUGAAAGUCGAACUGAAACAUCAUUAACUGGCACAGCUUCAUAUCUUGAAACAGCUUUAUGCCAGGGUGAAGUGCAACAUUAAAGGAAGGCUCAAAGCCAGGCUUUAGGAAAGAAGAACUACGUAUCACUAUGAAUAUUCAUACGAACCUGCUGCGGAGCUGUUAAGUGAGUGUCUGGCAAAGAGCUUUCUUCGCGUAUAACAAGAGGUGAUGCUGCUAGGAAGUGAACGAGUUAACAUCUUUCCGAACAAGGGACACGUGAAUGCUUACAACCCUUAUAGGUAAGGGAGCAGCUCUUAGAUCAGUAUCGGAGAUGGCCUCCCAGCACCCAACGGGCAAAAGAAAGAGGUGAUGAGCUAAGUCUAGUGAAGGGAGAAUCUUCUCUCAGGUCUUCAUCUCAUGGAUGAGGGGGAGAAGCCAUAUCGAAAAUAACAUCUCUGAAUAUUCUCUUUUUAUAGUAGGGCGAGUAGCAAGACUAGAUUUCUCUCUGAAUAUUCUCUUUUUAUAGUAGUAGGGCGAGUAGCAAGACUGGAUUUCUCUCUUUACUCGUGGAUGAACCCUUCCGUCAAGCGGCUUCACAGCUGGCCGAUUGGAAAUGCUUUUUCCUACUAAUUGCUUCAAUGAUGGUUUCUUCAUAAAAUCAAAGAGAGGUGGGUGGCAGGUUCCUCAGUGGAGAGCUCACAAAUUCGAUGCUGCUUCCAAUCUAAUAUAUAAGUAAUUGGAAAACCACAGACUUGGAGAAAGAAGCUCCGGGAAUCACGACUAGAAUGCUUUCUCUUUCUUCGAGCUGAGACAGAUCAUUCAAUAAAUGAAGUUCUUUUUCCAGGCUAGUAACUGAGAUGAUGAAUAAGGGGAACUGCUUUUCUAUUGGUUACUUAUCUUUGACCUUUUUUUCAUAGCCCCGGAUCUGAUACCUAUGAUGGUCAAGUCUUGGAGUGUUCUUCGCCCUUACUUGUUAGCUUUUCCUCUUUCAAAUAGAAAGGUAAAGGAAAACAAUGCGAACUGCUCACCCGGGAAACUAUCACUUCUGUAACAGAGGAUAAGAUCAAAGGUGAGAACUAAUCAUCAAUGCUUUUAUCAAUCCCGUUCCAUCAUUCUAUACUCCCUUCCCUCCCUUCCCUACCUGUUUGGAAAUGCAUUUAUGUUGCUAUAAACUGUUGUCAUAGAAUCUGGUUCAAUAAGGAAGUACCGGUGGGGAGCUGUCGAAAUCUUUUCUUCUGUUUUGUUUGUUGCUGGGAAAGUGUUUCUCGGAACAGAAUAAUAUAUAUAUAAUAAGACCAAUUAGAUCGAUCAAGCCUGUAAGUAAUAAAUAGAAAGAAAAGGUCUACAUCCCCAAGAGCAGGAACGAGAAGAGGAAUGAAUCGAGUAAGGUCUGGAACUCUCUUACUGACUUUAGCAGCUCAUCUCUAAUCUGGGAUGCAUAGUAGUCUGCCCACAGGCUCUUUAAGGUUCUGUCUGCUUUUCGUCUUUCCGGGUUUCCGCCUUGUAUUUCUUAUAUAUAGUAUAGGAAAGAAAGAGGAGCGGGCAUAGGGAUGAGAGGUCAGAGAAUAGGAUUCUGUCUCGAAGAGGGAAGGGAUCUUAAUAAAGCUAUUCUACCGUUCGCAGACAUGGGUAAAACAGACUGGCUUGUUAGGGCGGAUAUCUCUUUUUUAUGAUGAUGGUUGGGUCUACGAUAUAGGCGCAACGUAGAGUCCUAAUUGCCGUAUGGAAUAAGUCUCCUCUCACGAGAAGCUUGAGUAAACCUAAGAAUGCUUACUACUAGACAAAGAUAAAGACCGGGGAUGGGAUCUAGACCAAGCUUUCGCAAACAUCUACAUUGGAACUUGGCGCUUUCGCAAACAUCUACAUUGGAACUUGGCUGGAAGGCUUUCUAUUGAGAUAUAUAUUCGAUGCUGUCAUUUCGAAAUGCCCGCUUAUACCGCCCAAAUAGCUAAGUUGGCUUUACGAGCGUGGAGCAAUAAAACAAAAAAGCUCUCUCUUUUCCUUAUACUUAAGGGACAAAGAGAAGCGCUUUGGCUACUGAGAAAACGAACAGUCAGCGCGAAGGUGAAAGACUUAGCCGAGCACGUUAGCGAAGCGCUGUAGUAGCUUUUAAGCCCUAUGCUAUGUGCUAUAAGGUUUGCUUCACUCAUUCUGAUUAGUCUUGCUCAGUUGACUAAGGAAUCUUUGUUUUGGUUUCCUUAGCCGAUGUUGAACCCUGGACUGAUUGGUUCCUGUUAGAGGUAAGUUCAGGAAUACCGUAUAGGCCCAUAUUUCCUAAGACUCGCUGUCUUGGUACCGUGGGCAAGUCUACAACUCAAAAACACUCCACGUAUACUUAUUUCUAUAUACUUAUUUCUAUAAAGUCUCAAGUAAUAAGUAGUGACCGUCCUUCCGAUCUGAUUGAAUAAGACCAAACUCAUAUCUUACCGAACUACACUACCUUCAUCCUCAUAACUUUCCGUCUUGAUGGCAGAGAGUUUACUUACUCUUUUCUUUGAGCCAACUUUACUGAAUGGGAUAUUCUAACUCUGCAUGGGAAAUGAUCCCUGCUAGCAAUUUCUUAUAGAUAUAGAGUAUGCUUCUCUCUCUAGAUUCCAUGUCUAUUCAUCCGGCAUUCUAUUUUCAAAAGAAGGGAAAGAUUGGAUUUAUUGGGAUGAAAAUAACCUUACCAAUCCAAGAAUAUAACCUUUCGACUGAUGAACAUCUUAUUCGGAUUUGGAAGUAUAUUUCGAUUCCAUAUGAGGCUCAAAUCGUAUGAUGAAGACGAGGAUGAAGUGGAUGAUGAUGUGACGAGAGGUGGUAUCCUACUUUUUGUCUAGGACCAUAGCUGCGUCCGGUGGUUGGCGCCUUAGUCAUCGAGGAAAUCGUAUCGGCCUUUGACGCCCUAAGAAAUUCCGGAUUUGAUUAUCGCUACUAGCUUAAGGCAUAUCCGUAUGUGGUCUCGAUACUUGCUUAAGUAAUAUCAGUAUGUGGUCUUCCUUCUUUCUGUCAGAUCGGUCAAAGACUGCACAUCCGAUGUGAGUUAACUUACAUAUGGGCUUUCCUAACAGCAGAGGAGAUUAACCCUCUCUAAAGCUCUCUCUUUCAACGGGUUUCUAUCCGCUCACCAAGGAAAGGACUACAAGGCGUCCGACGCUUAGAAAAUCAAGUGAAGGAUUGGAAUCGCCCUUAGAUUAUAGUCUAGCUCAUCAAUUAUAGUCUAGCUCAUCAAUUGGAAAGCUUAGAGCCCCUUAUCCUUUCCAGUCCAGCCCUUCGAGUACGUGAUUUGUGGGAAUCUAAACCAACCCGGCCCGGUUCCUUGAUUUGGUGUAUAUCUUGCCAUUCUCAGAAAUUCCAUCUCUCCACGAAAGGGCAAAUAAAUGUAGUCAGUCAAAGAAAGAAGCAAGCCGUAUAGAUGUUCUCCAUAGCCUGGAAUUGCAAACGACCUCCAAUCCGUAUAGAAGGGACUUUCUAAGAUAAGCGAUCUUUGCUGACCCAUGAGCGGCUGAUCCCGAGGUCUGGAUCCUUUUACAGUGCGAGGGGGAUCUCUUCUUUUCUCUGUCUCGCAAUAAAGCUCCUUUCCUUCUUCUUGCAUUUCUCUUGAUUUGCUUGAACUUUCUGGUGCUGUGCAAGCCCUCCUUCAGGUGAAGCGGCUAAAGCCUUAGUCUCCCCAGGAGUUUGUAUUAGAACUAACCUUAUAAGUAAGGGUGCCUAGAUAGGAUUCCCUGUCUAAUGGCCCAAAGACGUAAUAUGAAUACCGCCACAAAAGUAGAAGAAUACACUGACUGCUAACAAAGCGCUGUAACUACCCGGGCGACUAGUACAAUCAAAUAAAUACAAAUAAGAGAAUUGAGCAGCUGACCUAGAAGCUUGCCCUUCAUCCCCAUACUGCUGCUUUGAAUCCUUUAAAUAUAGAUUUGGAUCCUUACUUGUUAGUUAAAGAACCAACCUACUCUAUACCAGACCAUAUCUCCUGUUUUCAUUCCAUAUUGUUUGUAUUACUCUUCCCUUCCUGGCUAUUAGUCAAUAAUAGGAAGCAUCGAACUCGGGAAUCCAACUUGAACUACUGCCGAUAAGACUUGAUCUCGAGAUAGAUAAGUUGGCUGUGGAGGCACCGUAUCGAACUAAUCAGUAGAAUUAUGGGUAUGAUCUAGUGUAUCCAGGUAUAAUCACAUAAUAUAGAAUUCUAAGGUAGUAAAUCUGACUCAAUAACUUCUAAGGUAGUAAAUCUGACUCAUCGGGGAGGUAGUCCACAAUUACUUCACUAGUCACCCGGCCCUACUCAUUAGUUAAUUGAACUCAGCAGCCGCUGCCUUAGCGAUCUCAUUAAAGACCGAGCCUGACUCGCAAGUAGCCGAGCCUUAUUAUCCACCUAAAAUGCCAAGCCAUACUUCAUAGCUUCCAAACCAUACUUGUCCGCUCCACUCUUGUAGUUGCCCCUUACAUUCCUUAUUACCACCUUCAUUCCUUAUCUACUAGCUGCUAUUCCUUAGUUCGAGAGUUAGUCCCCCUUCCUUGCUUCUUAGAUUGAGUCUACCUAACUCCCUUGUGAUACUAGCCUGACCUGCCUAUCUUUCCAUUCUCUCACUACUGAGUAGGAUCUUGACUUACUUCAAUUGAGUAGGAUCUUUACUUACUUCAAUACUAGCUAUUAUUAGGAUCUUUACUUACUUCAAUACUAGCUAUUAUAAGAAAUAAAUAAUUGGAUUCAUGGGUAUGGUCCUAUAGCACAUGGGGGGCUAAUAGCACCAACCGAUUGCUAACAAGGCUGUGAAAUCGCUAUUGAUAAGAGUAAAAGACAUGAUAAAGAAUUCCUACAAAGAGUACUAGAAUCGAAACUGAGAAAGCAAAUCCAACUGUUGGUAACAAGGCUAUAGGCUCUAAACUGGGAACCGACCUCGAAACCAGGGGCAAGCAACUGGGCAAGGCCGCCAAGGCACUGGGCAAGUAACUACUCAUUUAAUCUAAUCCGCUCUCAAAGGUCAAGCAGUUACAAGUGUCUCGUCUAAAGUUCCAGUAUAAAGUAAGGUAGAAAGUACAGUUUUUGAUCCUGUCUUUGUCGGCGUUUGUGAGUUGACACAUUGGGCUAAGCAUUCUGUCUGAUAUUUGUAUACGAUGAAACUAGGCACCUUAGCCACGACAUUCUGUUCAGUACAAUGAUAUAAGAAUGGAAGGCACCCAAGACACUAGAAAUCGGAUGAAUCACACCGCUAGCACCAACAUAUACCAGCUUAGAGACUUACCACUUGCGCAGACGGCAUAUUAUUGACUAGAGUGCGACCAGGGAAGGCCCAGAAGUAUUGGCCCACACCAGGAAGUCCUCUCUCUGCGCGCUUUCUUUGAUCAACUUCAGAAUUACUACCUUAUAGUCUUUCUUGUAGCUUUCUUUGAUUAACUUAAUAUACCGACUCUUCCAUUUAGAAAGAGAAUUCUAAAAGAUGGAAACAGGGCGCGUGAGUGGAAGUGGUUCAAGCAGUCCAUGUGCUGUAAAGAUCCCCAAUUGCAUGAGUGUCGGUGGUUUAUGGGCCUACUGAUAGGAGAGACUUUCCCGAGUCGGUCAAUAGAAAAGGCUAGGGUGUGUUUGUGUGUGAUUAACUCCGUCUUCUUACUCUUGUUCUUACCUAAGAAAUUGAUAGCUAGGAGUAAGGGAAGCAAGGAGAGUUCGGGUCGGGUAGGUACGAAAUACUUCUUAGGAUGGUUUACUUACUUGCUUGGGUAGGCUUCUGUUUCUCACCCGGGUCGGGUAGGCUUCAGUGCUUUUGUUUACUGACUUGCUUGUUAGUCAGGUUUACUUACUAGCUUGUUAGGGUCGGGGUUAACACUUAUACGAGGCCCUUAUUGUAAGUUGAGGGGUUAGUUUUGCCUAGUUAAGGGAUAGGCUGACUUACUCGGGUAGUGUCGUUUACUUACUUUCUGGUUCCUGCACUGAUCUGGUUCUUAAGUCUGGUGAGGAUAGAGAGUCAAGGGAAGCUAAGCUAUUAAGUACUGAAGUCCUGAAUUGCUACCAAAAAAGACGGGAAAACGUGAAAAUAGAAUUCCAUCUUGGUUCGUUAGGAGGGGCCAAGGAACUGCUAAUGUUCCGCGGCAGGAGCUCUCACCUUCGCUAUGAAAAAUCCCGGGAAAACGGAAAAAUCUUAUUUCUAUGGAACCCUUUAGGAGGGAAAAGGACUUCGCUACCUUUUUUCUCGGUAAAACGUGAAAAGAUCAGAGAAAUCUGGUCAUCUAUUAGCGAAAAGAAGGUCGCUAUCAAAAAACCCGGGAAAACGUUACUUUGACUCUGCCACUACACAUUAGUAGUUACUUGCCUGAUAGCAACCCUUACUUAUUGACUUUGGACUGUACUUGCACUUAAAGGAAUACUAGUUCCAUAAGCAGGACCUGAAGCCUCAUCCCUUUCAACAAGCCCAGCUGCAGGCGUAAGAGCACAUAGUAAGUCAUAAGCCAAGCCCCAGUCAGAUUCAAAAGAAAGGGACGAAGCGGGCUUCUACUCGUAUAUUACUCUAUUCCUUUUCAAUACCCGAGUUAGAUGAGAUGGAGGCAAGAACAUUACUUAUGGAUGCAGACAGCUUUCCUGGCACUGCUUUGGCUUCCCUUAAGAACUCAGUCGGAUAAGAUAAGCUUCCGCAACGGAGCAAGAACAAGAUGAUGACCUUAACCACUUGGUUGCUCUUUCUACAAAUAAGGAAUUUUGAAUGGAAUGAUCAACUACAGGCUCUACUUUGACUUUCCUCUCUGCUAACUUCUUCCCCUUACUUAUUAAGGCUUAAGGCUGCUCCUGCCUAUUCUACUGCUUUUGAUAAAGAACUUGAUCCAGCUCGAAUGACUGAUUGACCUGAUUCUUCGUCCUGGCCAAAAGGCUCUGGGCGCUAAAGUCAACAGUGAGUUUCGGAGUUAGGUUACUUCAUUCUAUCAUGGGGGAGCAGAGCAUAGCACUCAAUUCCAUUCUUUUCUUUUAUCGAAGUAGAUAGGUCGGGUGUUUAGAGAGCCUGUAAAGCACUAGUUCCACUCUUUCCAAUAGCUGUAAAUGCACCGAUGCACCGAUGUUAUUAAAGAUUCAAUCCUAUCUACCCUAACAAACAAGCAAGCAAGUCCACCUCUCCUCUAGCUCUGGCAACAAAGACAGAUUCAGUUGAAGACCGUCCCCACUCUUUGAGUUCACCUCGACCCAACAAUAAACUACUCAGUCCUGUCUUCGGCAACUACUUCUCUAUUAACUCCCUGACUAACUCUUUCACUCCAGAGUAAAGGAAGAAAACAAGUCAUUCAAAAACUGACCCACGGAGCAAGCCCUACUCCCUAGCACUAGGACAGGAAGAGCCGGCUAAGGUAUAGAAUUCCACAGGUUGCUGUCAACUACCCCUAAUAGACCUAACUAGUCAGUAAACAAAGUCAGUAAACACUUCUUUCCACAAGCCCAGCAUGAGACCCCUAUCCUCUGUCAACUUGACUAGACUAGCACUAUUGAGUUGCCCUAGAUGCAGGCCUAGUAACUGACUUCGGGCGAUCGGUCCCUCUUUUAGACUACUAUAGUACCCGUUGGGGCUGGAAACCAACUAUUAGUGGUCCUCUUGAUUUCAGAUCAGAAUUAGACCUACCCCUUAACUACCCUAACAAGUAAGUCAACUCCUUUCUUAUUGUAUGCCGACCUCGACUCAGGUACUGAAGUACAGAAAAUCACUAGAACUGGGGCUAGGGCUUCGAACACCAAUUCAUUACUACCACUCACCAAAACCCAGGACUUGUCAAGCAUCUUAUUCUGUUGAGCCUUCUCUGGCUUCAGAUCAAUAUGUAUCUGCUUCCCUUGCCUGCCGCUAGUGUUCCUAGGCAAGUCGACUCUUGCUCAUCUACCGGAGUAAACAAAUACUUCUUGAAACAAUAAAUACGGAAUACAGCUGACUACUAGUAACUGCAUUCUUCUCCUCUUACCUAUGGCAACUGGCAACUCGAACUAUGGCUACAAAUAAAGAGUUAAUCGCCUCUGGCUACAACUACAGAUUCUACUACUCUACUACUAGUUUGGGCAAUCACUUAACUUGAUACUUUACCUCGCCCUGGAACAGGCAAUUCUCUUUAUAACCUUGAUUCAAAGCAAGUAAGAAGAAUACCAGGACAAUUAGUUCCAUAUCUAGCCCAGCCCAUAGGUGUGUUAUCGACCCGAACUCUCCUUUCUUCAUCGCCAGCACCUUUCCUUGAUACCUGCCCUCGUCCUGAACUUAACCCAGCUUUCCACUUCUUCUUUACCUUAUUAUCUAACUGCUUCCUUACCAUCCGAUUCAGCAUCCUCUAUUGAAACAGCAGAUUAUUGAGCCUCCUCCUUAACUGAUCUAGCUUCUGCUGGAACUCAACUUUAAGAACAAACAAUCAUAAACACGCGCACCCGAAACAAAACAAUAAGUGACUUUACUUCCAGCUUCAGAUCUUUGAUACUUUUCUUGCCUCCAACUGAGGAUUCUUAAGUAGACUUUUUUCCUUGCAAUCGAACUACACUUGCAGAAGCAAACGUUGCAGUGUACUUACUUUUAUAUCUAUAUCAUGUGCUACAAAGUCAUAAUGGAAUUGAUUAACAAGUCCUUUCUUUUUUCGUUGUAUCGGCGGUAGUUAGUUAUGGAGUAAGCAGUGAGUUUGUGUCAGCAAAGUAAGGAGUAAGCAGUAGAUGAGCUCCUAACGCUUGAAACUCCUAACGUUUCAAAGUAGCUCCGUUAGCGCCCAAAGAGACAGCUAUUGUUUUGAUUUUGAGUUUAGCUGUUUUGAAAGUGGGAAGUCACCCCCUCGGCUAAUAAUUAUGCUUGAGUGGAAGUCUUAUGCAACUUAUAUAUCUGCCACUCGAAACAGUACUUACUGUUAAGGCUCUGGACCACUACCUAGACUUUAGCCAACUCCUGGAAUUGUAUACUUGACCUCGACCAGAAGGAGAAGGAGACUAUUCUACCGCCGACCCGAUUGCUGCAACAGAACUAGAGCAAGUUGACUUUCCUGGCACCUACCGAUUAGUACACCUCCGCAUCAGAAGGAACUCUCUCUCCACGACAACUAAGGUCAAGGUUAAAGCCAAUCAUAUUGUCGGUCAAGGUUAAAGCCAAUCAUAUUGUCUGUUUUCUUACUAGGUUAUACUACAUGUUUUCUGACUUGCUAGAAUCCCUGUUUUAUUACUUAACGCAUAGGUUCCCCAACGAUUAACUUCAUGUAGAGGUAAGGUCGGCAAGAGAAGGAGUAGUUCCAGUGACAGUUGUAUCAUAUAUAUCAAUUCCAUUCUUAUUAGCGGUUGGCGCACUCUCCUAUUCCCCAGUUCGAUCGAUCCUUUCUAGUACCUUUGACUGAUGAGUUGGAUUACUUGUUAGCUGCUAGAGUCUUAUCAGUACUAGGUCCAGGAAAUCCAGAAUAGAAUCCGCGUAAGUAGAACAAAACACCACCUAUUGAACUCAAUCUAGUAGCCCCUUCCCACCUUGCAUUCUCUGUACUCAAUCCUGUAAUAAAUAAUAAGGAGGGCCUAUCUGAAGAAUGGGACUACUCCUAACAAGACUUAGUUCAAGGCCACUACAUCAAUACCUGGAAUCCCACCACUGCCACUUCUUAUACUUUUUGUUAGAAUAUGGAAUUGAACUAGUAAGUAAGCAAAAGGGAAGCCCUAAGUUAGUAGUAAGCCCCUAUCUAGUAAGUCUUCCCCUCAUCCAGUACUAGAGCGCAGUGACCCUCUUCUACAGGAGCUCUUCCCACUUCGCAUAUAGUAGUAGCUUGGCUCUUAUUAGUUGAUGUUGAAUUCUUACUUGCUGAAUUCGGCAACUAUACCACUCCUCUUGAAACAAGCCCUGCUGCUGGCAACUAUGAAAAGAAUGAGGCUAAUCUCACUCUUGCUACUAGGUAUUCCACUCUAACUAGACUUCCACUUAUAUGCUCUUUUGACUCUUGCUUGGCUCCAAUACUGUAAGUACCAAUUACUUGAGUUGACAGCCCCCACUAGUGCUCUUGACUUCCACUAAGAAUUCCACUAGUAAGUAUAAGCCUUAAAGCGCGGGGGCAGUGAUAAUUCCACUAGCUACUCGAGACUACUGGCAAAGAAUGUCCACUAGCUACUCGAGACUACUGGCAAAGAAUGUCCACUAGCUACUCGAGACUACUGGCAAAGAAUGUCCACUCGAAACAACAAAGCUACUACUACUAAUAGGGUCGCUGGCAACUAUCUCUUACCUCUUGCUCUUGCUCCCGAACACUUCUCUUGCUCCCGAACACAUAGUCAGUAGGCAAGCUACAGGACUAGAGCAAGAAAUCAGAAUGGAAUGGAAUUACCAACGGGACUACAACUUACCCGGGAUUAUACUCCAACCAUGAACAUAAGGGCAGCCUAUCAUCUAUAAUACCUGGCUGGCACUCGACCUCAACUAUGGCUCUGUACUCUUUACUGCUCUACUACUUAGGCCUAUUAGACCUAUUAAUACUAGACACUGACAACCAUCCCUAUUUGUACUAGACACUGGCAACAAAUACUUCUUGGAUCUCUCUAGCUUAUCUACUUCUCCUUAAAGAAGGGUAAACUCAUCUACUUCUGACCAAGGUAUACCGGUCUUCAACAAGCACUCUAACCUCCCUCUUGCCAACUACUGGCUCGGAUCCAGUUUCAUUCCAAGACUACCUUGUUUCUUCAUUGGACUAGCUCCAUUCUUUCACUCCUCGGUUUGAUUCCCUAACUACCUAGCAUCAACCUGUAACUUACCAGCUCCACUCUCUGUGGACCUACUUAAAGCCUGUCACUCCCUGGGCUGGGCGUGGAACAAGACUUCUUCCGUUUACUCCCCACUUCUUAUUGUCUACCUUGCCGACAUCGACUCUGUCAACUAAUACUGUUAUGGCUCCCGUCCCGAGCACAUAGCAAGUAUACAGAUAAAGCCCAAUUACUUAAGGUCAAAGGACUUGUAUACCAAACCUACCCCUAGUAUAGGAAGAAAACGAGUAAUUCCACAAGCCAAUCACCUACAGAUGAAACCCGGGUUUGAUAGCAAUUCAGGACUUCAGUACUUAUAGCUUAGCUUCCUGGCCUAUCCCUUACUUUAGAACCAGAACAGCACUUACCGGUCUUCAAGCAAACUACUCUAUCAAUCAGGUCUGAAACUCUGGUAUUCUACUUCUUAGAGUAUUUAUUGCUUAGCGAACUUACAAUAAGGGCCUAUACAUUCCUUCACGCGCGCAACUAUAAAGACAGAAAGUCACUUCACCAUCAAGAUAGGGGCGUCUCAUGAAAUCUUUCGCAUCGCCAACACUGACUGACAGAUGAAACUCAACCACAAGGAAAGGAGCGUAUCUAGCCUCUGAUUCUAUAACUGCUGUUCAUUCUCUUAUUGCAACACUCACACCCGCUCAAAGAAUCCGUUUUAGCGCUACUAAAGCACUUGCCUCACUCUGUCACUCCUGGUAAGUAGUAAGUCAAAGUAUAGUGGAUGGGGGUGAAACUGCUGAUAGGAAUGAUUCUCUUCAAGCAAGGGCGAGAUCCGUAUAGUAUCUUUAAUAACAGUUUGCUGGCUGACCUGGUCCUUAUGAGAAUCCUGCUCCCACCUACGGAAACUAUAUCUCCGGGUAAAGCUUCUUAUCUUGUCUCCUUCUACGGACUCUCUAUCUUCUCAAGUUCAUACUCUUUCUAUUUCUCCGGCUUAUGAUUCUACACCUGCUCCUUUAGCCUUAGCAGAUACGAAAGAAAACAGGAACGUAACCUUUCUAUCGAAAACCAGACUUGCGAGCACCACUAAUAUAGGAUUAAGGAAAGACACUCACUCUAUUCCCUUUGAUUUUGCCGAAUAAUACUUGAAGACGAAAACUGUCAUUUCAUCUCACUCGCCAUAGUAUAGUAAAGUUAGAAUUGAACUUCCCACUGAGGGAGUCGACUUAUCCUUCUGUUGCUUCAGGACUUGCGCCAACCUAACCUAAUAUAAGUGAGCAACCGGAACUAGCCAAUCAAUAACCUCUCUAUACGACAAACACAAGAACAGCGGAUUAGGAUUCUUCUCCAAACACAAGAACAGCGGAGCCAACAACAAGAUUGGAUACCCUCUUUAGCUCGAACACUAGCUAAGCACUCUGGUCUAGUGCCCUUUAUGAAUUGGCUUAAGUACUGGUUUCUCUCCGGGCCAGCUCUCUUAUUGAUGCCUAGGUUUAGGUUCUUUAAUGACUCUCUUCCACGCGCAUUCCCUUCUUUUGUUGUUGCUGAUAGUGAUCUACGUCCUGUCAUAACUCUAAUAACGGACAAGUGCUUCCUCGCAAUACACUUCCAGAAGAGAGAGGCUCACCUCACAAAGAAUAGGGUGCAAAAUUCACUAUAACAGCACUUUUUUCGUCUUAUGGGAAAUAUUACAUGGAAUACCCCCGUUGGAACCUAGAAAUGCAUUUAUUCCUAACAUCUUAGGGGUCGAACAAAGCACUUGUGGAGACUUUCCCAGGCCUAUCAAGAAAGACAGAAAUCAAGCUUUACCCUUAUUGACCGCAAGAGGCAGCGGAGGUGUUUACUUUCGAAUAGAAGAGGGGCCAAGCUACUUAUAAAGCAGAGGCAGGCGAGGCAGUAGAAAGUAGGGAAGCAGUUCAGUCAGAUUCCAAAGGGAGGAAUGCGCCGGUGGGUUCAGUUACCAAUGCUUUAGUGGGUGAAGUUACCAAUGCUUGAGUGGAAUUCUGUAUUUGUUAGUGACGAAGCGGUAAGUAAAGUCUAAAGUAUAGUCUAAAGGGAGUCUCAAGAUAAGGGGUGUAUUUUACAGACAAGUAGUAUUUACCAUUUUCUAUACUAGCGCAAGGACUGUGAAAUUCAGUGAAAUCCUAAUCUUACUUUGGUGGUAGAUCGUAUAUAACUUCUUAAUAUGCCCCCUGCCCUAUUCUAUACCUUAUAGCUGACUUUCCGCUUAACAGCUCUGCUUCGGAACUUAACUCAAAGAAGAGAAUUAUUCAUGCUCAUCCUAAACUGCAAGAAUAGAAGAUAGAGAAAAGCAUAGUUAUGCAAGAAUAGAAGAUAGAGAAAAGCAUAGUUAGUAAUCUGACCCUUACCUCGAUUCGAUUGUACUUGCUUUACUGAAUUUGAUUGUUCCAACAUUCUCUUAUAUUCUAUUAUAUGUGAUAUUCUAUUGUAUUUUCCCAUUAGUAUAGAAUCAUUAGUUCAAAAGUCCGUUUCAGAGUACCCAUUCCGGGCACCUCGCAUCAAAGAAAGAAUAGAAGGUAGUAGUUUAAGGCUAAUAGUAAGUAGGCGGGCACCUUAUUAUUAUUAUUAUAGUCGUUGUUAGCAGUGAUUCAAAUCGGCAUUUCGAGCUAAAGUCUGAUACACGGCCCUGCAUUAAUGGUUUGAUUAUGACUUUGGAGUUAAAGCCCUUUUAGCUGUGUAGUAAGUCUAGUUAGUAGUAGCUCCAUUCUUGUUAUCAAUAUUCCUGGUUAAGUGAGUAGUUAACCUUAUGUCGGAUUGUAGAAGACCACUAAGUAAGAUAUGGUUAGUCAAAUUCGAAUAGUCGGAUAGGAGUUCAAUUCGGAGUAAGUCCAUCAUUUAGUAAUUCCUUGUUUCAUUUCCCCUCCCCGGCUUCUUAUCAUUUCUCUUAGUCUCAUGCGCUAGUAGCCCGUACCAUCACCCUAUUCUUAUUCCUAUGUUCGAAAGUGAGGGAUGAUAUUAAGUAAGAAGGGUCAGGAGUUUCAAAGACAAAUACAUACGUGGGUAGAAGAACGAAGCCAACCAAGAGGGACAAGCUAGCUGGUGCAAUAAAGAAUCGAAGUCAUUAGUGAAAUAAGGAAAGAGGAAGGAUCAAAGGCAGUAAACCAAGGUCAGAAGCCAGGACAGAUUUGAAGCCAGGGGACAAAGUCUAAGCUAAGAUAUAUUCGUGGUUUCGCUCUCUAGUUAGUGGGGCAGUAGCCGAUUCUGAUAGUAGUUAGUUGAAUUCCCUCAGUUCCUAUUUCCAUUCUCCUUAGUAUUGAUUUCACUCUCUCUAUAGUAUAGGUAGUUCGGGAAGAAGUUUUCCCUAGUGCAACCCAUUAGGUAGUAUAUAAGCUCGAAACCAACAAAUAAGGGAAUAGAUAGUAAGACUAAAGGAGAGAAUAGUCAGCUUAGGGACAGUUGUGUCUGAGUUGUUUGAUUCUAACCCCAAUAAGUUAUGAUCCGAGGUCAGUGGAGCAAGAGCAAGGUUUGAGAUCCGCAGCUAUAGAAUUGUAGUAAUCAAGUUUGUCAGUAGUGUCGAUCCCAUAGUUGUUGGAAGGUGCUUGGUGGCUAAGAUACAGCAAAACAAGGUUCGAUGCCAGUCUACGAAUCCCUUUCUUAUAAGUCAACAUCAUUCUUCCUCGACCAAUUGCCCGGCCCCUGCUAUGAAUGAGGGAUGCUACUUUCUUUCUUGUCGACUUUAUAGCACUAGGUGAGCUAUCAGGAGCACGUACUACUAUACUCGAUAAGGAGCACAUACAUAUAUACUAUAGGUCGCUUCGAGUACCACUAUCCAUCAAACAAAAUAAGCACUGUUUGUUAUAGUGAAUUUCCAACUAAUGUAUUGGGUGUCUCAUCUCAAUGGUAUUGGUAUUGGGUGUCUCAUCUCGUAUGUAUGCCCCUACUAAUACAAACAUCAGUAAUUAGAAUAUAGUCAAUUAAUUAGAAUAUGGUAAUCAUGUGUUUUAUCAUUAGAAGAUUGGAUUCUCUUUUUCUUAUGGUUUACGGUCGAAAAGGGGUCUAAAAGGGUCUCUAGUUUGACUCAAUAUAUCUACAUAAGUAGGAAUGAAAGCAACAAUGCCCCAACCAAAACACUAGCCCCGAGCCCGAGCACAAACCCUAUACCUGAAAUUCCACAUUAAAAGCUUGAGCAAGACUCCAACUGACUAACUAUCAGACUGAAACUGCUACUCCCCUCCCUACUUUCAGUCUUUGUUCCCUGUUUCAUAAUUGUACUAAUAUUGGUGAAACCCUUGUCGGCAGUGGUUGUGCUACUGCUUCUCAAACGGAACUAGUGCCUAACAAGACGAAAACUCUUAGGCUCCUUUCUGGGAUUCCGUAUUGUCACCUUCAUUCCCUUGCGGACUUAUGGAAUUAUGAAACGACUCUCUACUGCAUGACAUUCCUAUGUGCACCUUUAAGUCUGACUUACUGCCCUGCCAUUCGUUGGUUUUAUUCUCUCCUACUUGAAAGAGAUAGUCUACGGUGGAUGUUACUACUGGACUUUCGCUUGACCCCGGUUGUCGUAUCGUAUAAGGAAGAAGAGAAGAAUGCUUAGCCGACGUAACUACACUCCUAACUCUGUAAGCGCAGACGACGAAGAUUUGCUUGGCCCACGUAACUACACUCCUAACUCUGUAAGCGCAGAUGACGAAGAUUUGCUUGGCCAAUUUCCAUAUUAAUCUCAUGUAUCUCAUAUAUAUCUUAGUGAAAUUGUAAACUCGGUUAAUGCGCUUGUGCGCCGGGCAAGGCAAUAAGUGAGGUUGGUGGUCGGGGUGCUCCUUUGCAGGUUCUUUUCCGGUUGACAGUUUGAACUUCUAUUACGGUUGGCGACGAACAAGCAACGUCUUCAAGUCUGUCCUGUUUUCGUCUUUGAUUUGUCAGAUGAUAUUCCAUUAUGACUUUCUUGCACAUAGUAUAUAAGCUUCUAACCAAACUGCUUCCUUCUAAACUCACUGUUUACUUGUUGAACUCAGCUAGUAACCCCGCAACUCCAAUAGUGGUAUAGUAACGACUAGUAAAGCAAGCUCAUAUGUCAUCUAGAAGACAGAAGACUAAAUGCCUGUUUGCUCGAACCCUACUAGCAAGGACACGUCGAGAAGAGGUUGGCGCUGAGAGAAGAGGUGUGGACUUUUGGUCAGGUGCUAAGGUAAGAUCAAGUGCUGUUAAUGAUGUUUCUUGCUCAACCUUUCCUUUAAUCCGCUCUUUGUAGUAACGUUCGAGCUCUGGUAUCUUUGUUUGGAAUCAAGAUCUUCCGCUAGGGAUCAAAUCCGUUUGUAAACGCUUCUCACAAGUGGAGUAUAAGUUUACGUUGAGGUAGGUGAUUGGCCUUCUAGUCCUGCUGUAGCUCAAAAUCCAAGUAGUUUCGUUCCGUUGCUAGUUUCGGAGUGAGAUGACUCUUUUGCCUUUUCUAUCCGUUUUGCACUCCAUUCUCUUAUGUAUGCCGAUAUGAUAUGAUAACACUUCAAGCUUAAAGCAAGCCGUCAGUUUACUACUUUCUCUAUAUUAGGAUAGGAGAGAGAUUCCAUGAUUUCUCUAUAUUAGGAAAGAGAUUCCAUGAGUGCAAUAAGCGUGAGCGCAAGACUCUUUUGUUGCUAUGAUAUAAGUAAUUGAAGUACAGAGUUAGCUGUAAGCUGUGAGGUGAUCUGUCACUUUAUUCUAUCUAUUUUGCAUCAAAUUCAUAAGAAAAAAGCUAGGGCCGAUACUAUAAGCUAGCUUUCAUACAUACCUGGCUCAAGGCCUUGUGCGUUAGUGAGUAGUCCCAAUAUUCUUUCUUUCUUAUACCUUUAGAAAGAUAGAUUCCAUUCAGUCAUACUUUACUGAACACUUGAACAGCCACAUUAGAUUACAGGCACACUUUACUGCUAUGAUCAUGAUUUUAUAAACAACAAGAAAAGUGUCUUUCUUGGCUUAUGUUUGUUUACGCUUUUCUAUUAUAUGCGUGCGAGAUAUCCUCUGGAAUUCAACAAACAAGAGUAAGCUGUUUGCUGUAGGGUUACUUCCGGAAGUGUAAGAGCAGUGUUUUGACUUCUAUAUGGUGUGGUGUGGAAAGCUAUAUUCUCCUCAACAAGCUAAGCAAGGGCGGGCGCAAGAGCUUAUAAGAGUUAUGUUGAGCCAGCAGUAAGCCUUUUUCACAAGCAAAGCAAGGGCGUAAGAGCUUAUUAUCAGUUUGUAAGGAAAGAAAGCAAGACGUUGGGCUGUAGUGAGUUUACCAGUGAAAGAAACAAGUGUGUUAGCGAGUUUAGGUUAGCUAGUUUAGGAAUGCAGUAGAGCGUGAGCUUUAGAGUUAGGUUACACUAUUAUAUCAUAUGUAAGUUAGAUUCCAUAUUGGCAAGGGCACUUCCUUCCUAGGCUUUUAGCCCACUGAGAAGACAGACGAAAGUAAACAGAACAAGCAAGCUUCCACUUAUUGUUUCGGGGAACAAGCCAAACAAGUAGUAACGGAACAAGCUGUCGUGCUAAUGCGAGCAGAACGGGGUGACGAUAUACGUGAUUCAAGUAAAACUCGAGCUUCAGGAACAACACUCGUAUACAAAGAAAAGCCCAAUAAGCAUAUAAACUCUUUGAUACACUGAACGACUUGGAGCUACUGCCGCACUGACUCACUACCGCGGCGCGCGCAUGUAUAUAUAUCUUAUUCGAAGUUGAACAGAUAAAGUCGUUCGGGACGCGUUAGCUUCAACGAGUACACCCCGCUUCAAAGCCAGCCGAUAUUCUACAGGUAAAGAAAGAACGUAAGCGAAUAGAGACUCCGGAAAGGCGUUCAAGCAGGGUUAAGGACAGAAAGAAGAUAGUACUUCUGAUGAACCUAAUGAGGUUAAGUAGACAGGAACAGAAUUCUCAAAGCUGAUAGGAGGUUUAGUCUUCAGGAACAGUAGCGCUUGUCAGGUCAGCAGCAAGACUAAGUUAUUCAAUAUGAGUUCGAGCAAGAAAGUAGUAUUCUGGCUUUUAAGAGAGUAUUGGCUUUGAAGCUGUAAGUACUGAAUGCGAGAAUAGAGUUCGGGGAAGAAGAUAGCCGAGGUCGGGGCAAAAGGGAAGCCAAGCCAAACCAAGUCAUUAAGUAAGCAGUAAGAUUCCAAAUCAAACUAAGCUGUGUCUUUCAAAGUAUCUAGAAGCCGCAUCUCAGUUCUCAUGCGGAGGAGCAGUUAAGGUAAGGCCAUCAUCUAGUACUGGCAAGGUAGCAAGGUGUCAAUCAGUGUAAUCAAUCGUAUUAAGAAGUCACAGUCGAAAGGAAUCUAAGCAGCCCGGCCCGCUCACUAACGCUGAAAACAGGGCUCGCUCCGUUAGCGCAGCAAACAAGGCUUGUUCCGUUGAGGUGACUCUGGAUUCUAUGAGUUUUUUAGGUGACUCUUUAUUCUAUGAGUUUUGAGUUCUAUUUUCUUUUAAAUAAAGUAUUGGCAUAAGCGGAAUAAGAAAUGUUGGAUUAUUACCUUCUCAGGCGCACUUCAUAUAAGUCUCCAUCAGUUCCGAGUUGAUUCAAUCUUAUGCGGAUACAGAAGCCUAAUCGAAUACCCACUCAUAGGGUAAGCUGCUAUCGAUUCUUCAAGUGAAGGAGAGGUUGGGCAAGUGGAUGCCAGCAUUCAAGUUCCGGCAGAUUCAAAACAAAAGGUGAGCAGUGUCUUUACAUUAUUCCCGCAGUGGUGCAAGAGAGAGAAAAUCAAUGAAACGGAAUUCUGCACUCGCAACAAGUCCAACAACGGUUAUUAUUUCCAACAACGGUUAUUAUUGCGCGAACUGUAGCUUCGGAAGUUAUCUACUCCACUCCUAUCUUUCUGACAUUCAACAUUCUACUUUACUUAAGUUUAGACUUGACUUGACAUCGAGCCUGUAGGCAGAGUAGGGCCAGUGAACAAGCAACGGAAUGAAAAUCCACAAUCAAUGUAAACAAGACAAUAUGUCUUUACUUGGCUUGGAUCUAUACCAACGCUUGGAUCUAUACCAACAGUUCUGAGGUUGGCGCUAAGAGAAUAGGUUGUAUAGCCAGCAGAGUACUUUUACUGUGCUUACCUGUGCUUACUUGACUUAGGGCUUGCUGCGGAUUCAGUUGGUAGGAAGUUGUCCAGUGGAUUCUUUCUUUGUAACGAGGUAGCCAGAGGGGAAGUAGAACUUUGUAGCGAGGUAGCCAGGGGGGAAGUAGAAGAGAGGAGCAAGCAGGGUUACUUUAUUCACUAGCUAAAGAAGAAGAGAGUACUGGCCGGGUAGACCAGAAGGGAGGAGAUAGAAGUACUGACCAGUAAGUAAAGAAUUGCUAUCAUCCCCAUACCAGAGUCGAGGUAGGCAAUAAAGUCAUACUGAGAGGUCGGGUCGGGUAGUUAUUAGAGGUCGGGUAGUUCCAGAGAGUACUCGCUUUGAGUCUAGUGGUAGUAGUCCUGCUCGAGUUGCAUCCCCAGUAGCAUCUGUCUUUGUAGCAAUAGGAGAAGUAGAUGAGAGUCAGUCCUGUUCUGGUGAUUGUUGAAAGAAGUUAAUAGGGGCCCUUAUAGUCUGUUUCGGGUGCUCAAACUCAAGAAGUAGGGCCCUUUUAGUAAGUUGUUAACUCAAAGAGAAGAGCCUGAGUUAGAGUAGAGGAUAAGAAUGAAGUUCAUUGUUGCCCUUAUAUGAAGUUGGUAGAUUAGCAAUAGGGUCAAGAUGUUAGGCAGAAAGGAGCUAUUUCCGCACUUUAGUUGUUUUAUGGGAAAUUCUCUAUGAAGUUCGCUUUCCAUUGCAUUAUAAUAGGGAAUACAACAGGACUCGUACAUCACUCAUUAGAACGUAUUUAUUACUUGCUUUGCUUUCGCCCUUGCUUUAAGAUCUGGGUAUGUAUUAUCAGAAUUGACCUAGCAACUAUCAGGCUUGGGGGCACUAGUUACAUUCUGAGUAGCGCUGGAUUAAGGCUUGGAUGCAGUGGUUGAGGUCUACCCAGCACCGGUUUGAGUCUGAUUGGAGUGAGGUUAAGUCUGCCCAACAGUGGUAUCAGCCUUGGAGUUACUGCUUUGGUUCUGUGAUGAGUUGGUUUCAGGCUUGGACUCCCUUGUUGAAGGCUGUUAGCGCGGGUUGAAGCCUUAGCAACAGUGGUUUCGUUCUGUCACUCACCGGUUUGAUUCUGGUUUCAUAUAUAAAGAGAGAUAGAAUGAACCUAUAUUUUCCUAUACUAAGUCAGUACUGAUUGGGUACUAUAGAAAGAGAUCGACUUUUCUGAUUGAUUUGUGAUUUCUUAUCCAAUUAUUUAUCCCAUGCGAUUCUUAUUGUCUGCCGACCUCGACUCUGGCUCUGUCAACGAAUACAACAAAUACAGAUUCCACUUGACCACUGCACUACUGGAAGGGGCAAUCACUUAACUUGAAACUUUACCUCGGCAAAACUAUCACUCGAACAGGAUCGGUACAAAAGCCAUAGGUUGGUAACGUCACUUAAAGCAAAGCAGGCUAAGAAGUGGAAAUAGCAUCAGCAAGAUAAGAAGCAAGGGAUAUCGUUCCAGUAGAGCUUCCUUGACUCUAUUAAUUAGUAUAAAGUAACUUAACCCUACAGAUAUGGGUGUAAUAUGAGCUCUAACAUAACUUCUUUCGUUUUAUGGUAAAUUCCCUAGGAAGAGAUCACACCUGCUUCAAAUGUAAUUCAAAGAGGGUUGAUUCGGAGCUGGCUGAGUCUUAUUGAACGGUGGAAGAAGAGGAGGCGGGGGGAGUUAAUAACAACUGCAUCCGCUUCGUCCGAUACUGAGUUUGCUUAUUUUGUUUCUUCUACUGAUCUCUACGACUUCACUCUUACUGUAACUGUAAACUCUCCUUUCUUAAGUGUUCUCCUAUAUAAGGAGAAGAUAGAAUUGAGUAUGGGACAAGUAACUGCGUCUGUUACGCGGCAGCAACGUCGACUUUUCUGCUUUAUUUCAUAUUUCUCAUUUCUUGUUUUUUCUGGUUUCUUGCCUGAUAGCUUUCAUUGCUUCCCUUGAGACCUCGACUCUGGCAACUUCCACUUUUCUGGUUUAUUUAUGAUUUGAUCAAAUUGAUUCAUCCCAUUGAAUUCUUAAGUCAACUCUCUUUCCAUUCUUAUUGUCUGCCGACCUAUCCUUGAAGUGCUGACCUAGACUCUGGCUCUGGCUUGGCUCAUAUAUCUCUUAUACCAUAUCGAAGGCUCCUACCUAUAUCUCUUAUACCAUAUCGAAGGCUCCCGAGCACAUAGCACAGCCUUUGGGAGUCCUUAUUUAGCCUAUACAAAUCUACCUCUCCUCUUGCCCGUUACUUGGCCCCUACUUUCCAUUUGAAGUUAAGCCAAGCAAAGCCCUACCAGAAGCAUUAGGUGAACUGCCAACAAGGUAUGUAACAAUUCUCCUCUUUUGCACUCAAUGCUGUUUGUUACCAAAUUCUAAAGGAAAGCUAUGCUAUGUUUUUACUCAUUUAUCUCAAAUGCUGUGCUGAUAGAUUCUUUUAGUUCGCCAAAGUAAGUGCUAAUGUGUUUGUCGGGAAAGUAUUGAAGACUCAUUCCUAACGCCAGGUUGCUUCUCUCUUCCUUAAUUCUCGUAACUGGGGCUCGGCUCACUAACGCGCAACUAGUUGUUUGUGCCAUAGUGCUAACGUGAGAAAGCCUAAGUGUCUUUACCUUAGAGAGAGAGUUUUAGAGUGAGUAAUAGAUGCUUUUUGUGUCCCUAUAGCAUAACAGAAUAUUGAACUUCUAUUCAACAAGCAGCUGGCUCUCGUAACUAACUGAAUGAGGCUCCUCUCUGGUAUUUCACUAACCAACAAGCUACUACGGAAGGGCAGCGGAACGAUGGCUCAAGAAUCCACCCUACUACUGGCAAGCCAGCUUCAAAGCCGAUACUCUCUUCUUCCUCGAGCAGUAUCUUUGAACUCUCCUCUGGCUCAUAUAACUCCAUUUGUUUUCUCAUCUAACUCAAUGGAUUUUCUACCUUAGGCUCCUAGGCAACUAUGAACUUCUUAUAAAGCUUACUCAGCAGCUCUUGAAACAACUUAUUUAUAAGAUAUGAAACAAGGGAUUCCACUCGAAAGAGAAGAGGACAGGUAUAGUAGAAGAAGAGAAGAGAGCCGAAUGGAACAAGCCCAGCAGCUGUCAACAAUACCUCUCCGUAGUCAAAGAAUUAAUCCGGGCUGGCUUACUAAGUAGGGACUAGUUUACUUACUUGCUUGGCCCCUUCCUGUAAUCUAAUCUUCCCCGAACUACACCUUUCCCGCUUCUACUUGCUUAUUCGAACGCUAGGCAAUAAAUAGUACAUGAAUCUUAUGGCCCUUUCUUUUGCUUUAUAAAGAUCGAAUAUAAGUCUUGACGCGCCUAAGCUUGUUCAGUCAAACAUCAUUCUGCAUUUCCAUUUCACAUACGUGCAUAUAUAAUCUAGAAAUGGCAAUACCCUUGCAGUUAGCGGGUUACACCUCGGGUUAGCGGGUUACACCUCGGACAGGAAUCUUUCCCUUUUGCCGAGUAAACAAAUAAUGAAAGAAAUCUCUUUUUGGUUGAAGCAACAAACUAUUUAUUCUAUCUUGCGCCUGCAUACAAAUAGAAUUAAGGAAUGCUGCUGACUCCUAUUAACUGAAUUAGGCUAGGCUCCGAUCAAUCCUCUUCUAUUCUGACCUCUAUCUCUUCUCUUGUAGAACUUCUAUGCUAUCUAUUACCUAUGGCUCAUAUCAUCUAACUCAGGCUGGCUCUUGAUACUCUCCUCUCCACUGACUUUCAAUUCAUAACUUUCCACUUUCAACCGUACUCCACUAAAUUUCGCUAGCCAAGCACAACUUCCUUGCCUUUCAACUGAAGGGUUUCAAUUCGCCGUGUAAACUAUAUCUAGUGCUUCUCAUUCUUUUACUGACUUCUUUCAUUCUCGUACUUAGCUACAGCACUCUUUCACUUUGACUUAGAAGCCUUACUUUUGUACAUUAGCUCGAGCCAGUCUCUCCCUCCUAUAAGGUUGUAACUGCUGAGUCGGAUCCCUCGACUGCCGCUUAUGAGACUUGUGAGCUACUGCUUCUCAUAAUGUAACUGCCGGCAAACAGACUUUCACUACCAACUCAAAGAUCGAAGCAAAGAAUUCCAUUUGAAGCUUCUUUUCUCUCUUAACUAGCACAUAGCAUCUUUUCUCUCUUAACUAGGGAUGAAACCUGCACUGGAACAGGAGAAGGAUCGGCUACUAUGCUUCUUGCCUUUGUUGACAGGUAUAAUAGAAGAGGGUAACAAGCCAUAGCCUCUUUCUCUCAAUUAAUAAUUUCAUAAUUUGGUUUGAGCGGUUAAGUUUGAAUUUCACUCCCAGGUAAGAAGAGGAGGAUUUAGCUAGGUCUAAUGGAAUCAGGUAACCAACCGGCGUGCUCUGGGCUCUUAAUUGAAAGUCGGAAUGAAACCAUCCGCCGCACAGUAAUAAUUUGACAACUAUGAAUUACAAAUUUCCCUCUUCUGCGCUAAGUCCAGAACCAGAAUCUUUGCCAUAGAGGUCUACUAUAUGUUGGUAACAAACCCGCCAAGCUCUUACUGCUUCAUUUCACUCAAUAGCCUGAGGAGAGUUAGAUGAGCCAGAGGAUAGUUCUAGUUUCCGAACACUCGCGGCCCUGGCUUCCAAUCAGGUUUCUGCUCUAACAGCUUCAUUUCCUUACUUUUCAUCUACAGUUGGCUCAUUACCUAUUACAGCAGGUUCUUUCGCCUUUGACUUUGCAUGCUUUGCUUAACUAACUCCAAUAACGGAAAUAUGUCUAAUACUAAUAAGCAAUGGGGAGAGCUCCUAACGUGAAGUCACCAGCACAGGACUCGUACUUGAUUCUGCAGAAGAUCUGGAUUCUGCUCCUUUCGACGAAAGAGAGAGAUCAGAAGCCGCUGGAAAUGAUGUAUCUGUUCUAAAAGAGAGCUCCGUAUUUGCAUUUGCAACAGGGUUUGGGUAAGAAUCCUUUACUACCAUCUGAUCUUAUGCUUGAGUUUGUUAGCUCGAUGAACUAAUUAAGACAGACCUCUUUUGUUGGUAACUUGACUUCUAACUUGUUCUUGCGAAAGCACUUGUGGAAUGUAGGUGCACCUGUUCUUUUAUAGCAGUAGUUUGUCACCCAAGGUAUAGGUCGCUUAAAUGGUAUAGGUCGCUUAAAUGGUAUAGGUCGCUUUCAAGGUAUAGGUCUUAAGAGUCAGUCCAGUCUUUUGUAUCAGUAAGAGAUGUUCUAGUCCAAGUCAAGUCGUCAAUUGAACGUGGUCCAAUGCAAGCAUCCAAAUUCAGUGAGGAUGCCUUUUCGGGUGAAGGGAAUAAGAAAGCACUCUGGCCUGGCUUGCCUGGGGUGAAGCAUCUAUUGACAGCUAGGUUAGGGAAGGGAGUUCUUCCUGUCUUCAUGGGCUAACGGGAAUUUGAAGCGCUAAGUACUGCCAGGCCCAGGAUAAGAAUAAGAAGCCGCAUCCGCAGUGCUAAAGUCAGCAGCCAAAUAACCAGUUUCCGUGGAAUCCCUAGUUGAAGUUGCAAGUCAAGGCUGGUUGAUAAGCCUGAUAAGUUGGGGUUUCUUUCUUUUGCUGGUUUAAUUCCCAUAGAGCAGAUGACUUCUUAGAACCAGUAGGUCAAUUCUGGUUGGCAUAGGAGUAAGAUUUGAAGGAUGCCGCACAAGUAAGUAAGAUUUAUCUGUCAGUAAAGCAGACUCAAAGCCCAGGGAUAAAGAGUAAUGGACAGGAAGGUGAGCCGAGCCUGAGAGGCCAUAGUGAUAGAAUCGGAGUUUUCAGUAGACGAAUCAAAGACUCAAUAGAGUUUGAAAGUAAGUAAGGACAUAGUGAAAUGCACGAGUAGGGCUUUGUUUGUGAAGUAAGUAUUCCAUAAGUAGUAGUGGGUUUCAUCCCUAGUUUAGUCUUAAGUGGACAAGUAGGGGUAUGGUUCAGUUGCAUCUGUAUUAGUUGACAUAGGUAUCGGAUAAGAGACAGAGGAGAGGCUAAAUGCAGACUAGUUGACAUAGUUAGAUGAGCAAGAUCAGAGGGAUAGGAUCAAGAAAGGUCUACUUUGGAAUGCAUUAUUUCUCAUAUUUAGAUGUUUUGAAUUGGAUUUCCCAUAAAACUACUUGAGUUCUGUUAUAGUUCCUUUUUUGCCUAUAAAACAAGGGUAUUCGUUAUCAGAGCAGAGUUGUUGGCGAGUUGAAUACCAAACUAGUAGUAGAGUAGUUAGCUCUUUGAACUUACGUAGCUCGCCUACUGACUAUGUGUUCGGGAGAAAGAGAAGAGUUAUUGUUGACAGAGCCAGGGCAGAGGCAAGAUCAGAGGCUAGAUCCGAGGCAAGAGAAGAGGAGAUAUUAUCCAUUUGCUAUCUAAAAUCCCGGGAAAACGGCCAAGCAACUACUAACGUUGCGCGGCAGCAACGAAUAACGGACGUUAGGGAGUUAUGAGCAAGUCCUGUGUCCGGGAAUGACUUUGGAUCGGUCUAGCAGGGAAAAUGACUUGGCUAUGAGGCAAGGCCAAGCAACGGCGCAAGCCGCUGCGCGGCAGCAACCAAUAGGUAGUUAUAAGAAAUUCUAAACAAGUCCACCAAGCAACUACUAAUGACCAAGCCGACUUAGGCGCGGUAGGAGUUGAGCUAAACGGUAGCGAGCUUAAAAACGCGUUACGCGGCAGUGUUGUUUCACGGGAAAACGCAAAAGUGGAGGAUCCAUCUGGUCACUCAGGAAGGAAAAGGACGUGGCUACCCGCCAAGUAACUACUAACGUUACGCGGCAGUGUUGUUUAACGGGGUUUCAUAAAAGAAUCAGUGCUUUUUCUCUGUCUAUUAGCGAAAAUCUUGUUGCUGCCUUUUUUGCCGUGUUUUGGUGAGUGGGUUGGUUUAAAGGAACUGUAGGCUUAGUCUCCUCUCCAGGAGUACAGGCUUUGCUUUGAUACGAGGGUAGUUGUGGAAUUCAGUGACUGCUGCUGGGCUUGUUGACUUACUAGCUAGACUAGUUAGGGUGGUGGACUCACUUAGUUUACUUACUUGGCGGGUAGGCUGUUGACUUACUUUGUGAGGCAGUGAGAGUUUCAUCCCGUCAAGCAACAGAGUUAGAUUAGCCUCAUUCUGUUAUAAGAGAUGAUAAAGUCAGUAAAGUCAGUUUCCCCACUAUUCCAAAGUCAGUAAAGUAGAUUUCUGUUCUUGUUUCAUCCCAGUAGCAAGUAGUAGUCCUGUGUGAGCCUUUACUAGAUACCUUCGGGCGAGGAAGCUAUAAGUAAAGAAGUAUAGUGAAAAACAUGACAACUGAAAUGAAUUCUGAUAUAAGAGAACAGCCCCGGAUCGGUUGAUUGUUCCUUAAAGAAGAUAAUCAGGGUUGACUGUUCCUUAAAGUAGUCGUGUUUCCUUAAAGUAGUGGUCAAGUGGAAUCUGUCUUUGUUGUCGGUUCAGCAAUGAUAUAGUUAUUGGCUUAGAGUAUCUUUCUGUUCUUGUUGAAGACCGAGUGGAAUCAGUUCUCCUACUGGUGGUAUUGCCCUUAAGUUAAUGGUGAGAUCAGCCCCUACAAAGCAAGCAUCUGAUCUGGUCGACUUCCCACUUGAGAACACGUACUGGGUUUGUUUAGUUACUUCUUUCUAUCAUACCCAAGCCAAGGUACUAGGUUAGUGACUUCUUUCUAUCAUACCCAAGCCCAGGUACUGGGUUAGUGACUUCUUUCUAUCAUACCCGAGCCCAGCUCAUGAUUCUGUUUCUUCCGGUAAAGUGUAAUUCUGAUUCGUAUCCCCUGCUUCGGCGCAAAGUUCCAUUCAUGCUUCUUCUCUUUCAACUAGAUACGCCUCCUUACCUAUCUCCUUUCCUUGGUUACAAAGAUCUAUCAGACCUAGCUCAUGAUUCUGUUUAUCCCCUGAAAAGGUGGAACUCUGACUUGAGAGUUGAGAGCACGGUGAGUGACCUAUUCUAUCUCAAUACCUCGCUAAUGAUUCUGUUCUGUUUCUGGACACCUCGCUACCUUAACGGGGGCCUUUGCCCUUAUUGCUAAGUACGAGACCUUUGCCCUUAUUGCUAAGUACCCGGCUUCCCCACCUGACACAGAUGCCCUUAUUGCUAAGUACCCGGCUUCCUUACAAGACACAGAUCCUUCUCUUUCCACCCUUGCUCCUCUCUUGCAACUAUUAACUGUUACUACUUAGUGAAAUGACUAGAUGUAGAUGCGGGGGCCAAGCUACGAGGCAAGUCGACAACUACGUUCAUUCUUUGACAACUUUGUUCAAUUCUGUAACUCCCACUUUCCUACUUCCACUCAAAGCAAAGAGCUAACUAAUCUACUACUUGCUCCAACAAAGAAGCUCUUAACUACUAACUAUAGGAUCGACUAACUGCCAAAAAGGCUAUAAUUACUAAUAAAGAGAAUCAACACAUUGGUAAGGAAUCGAAUUACUAACUAUCGGAUUGAAACUCCCUAACCUAAUUCUUCAGCUCCGGCGUCUCAGGCUGACUUUCCCUUAUCCCAUUCUCAUAUUGCUUUACACGUUCUGUAUUACCUACACCGGCUACUAGGCCUGUUCCUUACAUUCCGAAGUUCGCCCUUGUCUCUGCCAUUCCUCUACCUAAGCAAUUUCUCCCUUGUAUACGCAAAUACAUAGUAAAGGCUAUAGGUCCGGAACUACAAUACCCAUCUAGUUGGAAGAAAGAAUGAAAUCUAGUUGGAAGAAAGAAUGAAAUGAGAAAUAAGGAAAUGAACCAAUCAGAAAUGCGCUACUCCAGGGCAACUGCAAGAAGAAAAGCGCAUAAUUAGGUUUUGUCUUAGGUAUUACUGCUUCUGUCUUCGUAGAUCAAUCAGUGCACUAAAGAGUAUUGGACAAGCAACUGGGAAAUCCACUAUUAAUAGAAAGAAUGGAACCAAUGCCUAAAAUACUUUACUAGCGCUCAAGCAAACUACAACCUUUAUAAGGGAACUCCACUUAGUACCAAUCCGAUUAGGCUGAAAACACCCUAUGGGGAAUCAAGCUACUAACGAGAAGACUCAUCUUACAAACCGAGCCUUACCCUUGUUCUCGGUCUUAUAACCUGGGCAUCUAAAUCUUAUUCCUCUGCUAACAAGAAUAGAGCUAGCAACAAACGGGCUAUAAUCACUAACUUCCGGGGCUUACUACCUAUUCUGAACUACUGACCAAAAAUCGAAGACUUACUUAACUGUUAACAAGACUCGCGCUACCACGUAUAGGGUAACCAAGAAGCAAGGGAAUAAGUAAUGGAACUAAUGCUAACACGGCUAUAGCUCGGAACUAAGAAUCAAAGGAGUCAGAAUCAAUCCGGAAAUAAGGAAUAUAUAUGAAGUAUUUAGUAACGGAAUAGAACUCGGGAAUCGCCUACUACUUAAGAGAGCACCUAUUGCUUCUAACUGCUCUGUGGAAUCGAGAAUGUAAGUACACUGAGUUAAAGAACGAAAGCUCGGGAUGCUAGGCUUCUACCUUUUCGCCUCAGGCUUGUUCUACUGUUUUUCAUAAUUGAACUUGCAAUAAAGAAAUCUACUACUAUAGGGAAUUGAACAGAAGGAAUAGGCAAU